AAAUUUUUUCUAAAUUUUUGAAAAGUUCUUUGAAUACUAUACUAGUUAUAUUGUGUUUUCGGGUAAGGUAGGGUUUAGGGUUAGUAGGGUUUUGGGUUAUGUAGGGUUAAGGUUAGGUAGGGUUUAGGGUUAGCAUGGUUUAGGGUUAAAAAGAGUUUAGGGUUAGUAGGGUUUUGGGUUAGUAGGAUUUAAGGCUAGAAAGGGUUUAGGGUUAGGUAUGUUUUAGGGUUAGAAAGGGUUUAGGGUUUGAAGGGGUUUAGGGUUAGAAAGGGUUUAGGGUUAGGUAGGGUUUAGGGUUAGGUAGGGUUUAGGGUUCGGUAGGGUUUAGGGUUAGGUAGGGUUUAGGGUUAGAAAGGGUUUAGGGUUAGCAUGGUUUAGGGUUAGAAAAGGUUUAGGGUUAGUAGGGUUAAUAGGAUUUAAGGCUAGAAAGGGUUUAGGGUGAGGUAGGAUUUAGGGUUAGGCAAGGUUUAGGGUUAGGUCAUGUUUAGGGUUAGAAGGGGUUUAAAGUUAGGUUAGGUUUUAGGGUUCGGUAAGGUUUAGGGUUAGGUAGGGUUUAGGGUUAGAAAGGGUUUAGGGUUAGUAGGGUUUAAGGUUAGUAGGGUUUAGGGUUAGUAGGGUUUAGGGUUAGAAAGAGUUUAGGGUUAGAAAGGGUUUAGGUUAAGUAGGGUUUAGGUUAGGUAGGGUUUAGGGUUAUGUAGGGUUAGGAUUAGGUAGGGUUUAGGGUUAGUAGGGUUUAGGGUUAGGUAGGGUUUAGGGUAGGUGGGGUUUAGGGUUAGUAGGGUUUAGGUAGGGUUUAGGGUUAGGGUUAGGUAGGUUUUAGGGUUAGGAAGGGUUUAGGGUUAGGUAGGGUUUAGGGUUAAAUAGAGUUUAGGGUUAGGUAGGGUUUACGUUUAGGGUUCGGUAGGUUUACAAUUAGAUAGGUUUAGGGUUUAGGUAGUAUGAAGGGUUUAGGAUUAGGUUUAUGUAGGGUUUAGGGUUAGAUAGGGUUAAGGUCUAGGUUUAUGUAGGGUUUAGGGUUAAGUAGGAUUUAGGAUUUUAGGCAAUAGAAAAGGUUUAGCGUUUGGUUUAGGUUGGGUUUAAGGUUUGAUUUAGAAUAAUGCUUAGAAUUAUAGGGUUUAUGGUUUGUUUGUUUUUUUGUUUAUGCAUUUAGUGUUGAGAUUUUGGGAUAAAAUUUUAUAUUAAUAUUAUUGAUUUAUAGUUUUUCUUAAAAUGUUAAAAAUUUUAAAGUGAUUUUUAAGGUUCUUAAAAUAUGUAUUUUUUUUUUAGGUUUUUUGUGACAAUAAGUUGAAUAUAUCCUAUACCACAAAUCAUAAAUAUUUUGAGUCUUAUAUAUUUUGUUCUUCAAGUUAUUGUUACUUUUAUUUCCUUUUAUACAUUUCUCUUAAUAUUUAUGUAUGCAUCCACAAUAUUUUUUUUAAAUGGAAUUUUCAUUAACUAAUGUAUUUAUUGUAGUUUUAAAUAUAUUAUAGUUUUCGUACACUUGAUUAUAUUUUUUUGGUGUUGGUGGUAUUUGAAGUGGUUGAGAACCUGAAUGGAUAUUUACUUUCAUAAAUUUUUUGGUGUAUGUUUGAAAAUAAAAAAUUGUAAAAGCUUUUAAAUUAUAUGAAUAUAAUAUUCAACAUACUACUGUUGACUGUUUAUAUACUUAAAAUUCUAAAGUAGGUAAUUCCAAAUUUGCUGAACUCAUAGAUUCGUUGCUACUUUAUAAAUUAUCACAGGAUGAUGUACAUAUGGUAAAUAUUGCUUUGAUGAUAAUAUCACGUCUAUAUCGUAAUGUGUAUUUUUUUUGUUUUAUCUACUAUGUAUUAAGAAGUAAUUAACACAUUCAAUAAUACUACUAAAGAGUAAAAAGCCUUUCAAUUGUUCAUAGUAUAAGCCCAAAGUUAAACUCAAGUCUAUCCAAAGAAAUAAAACUCAGAGACACGUGUUGGUCUGUCAGAGAGUGACUUUCCAUGUGGAUAACUUAGGAGAGAGGCAAACAUAAUAUUUUUUCAUAUAACAAUACAAUAUAUAUAUAUAUAUAAAUUAUCUUUUUUAAUUAUAAUUUUUAGAUUUUGGAUAAUUCAAUAUUCUAUUUUUAAUUAUAUAAUUAAUCAUUUUAUUUAAUUAAUAUUUAGUUAUAAAAAUUAUGUUUUAAACUUUUUACUUACAGAAUUUUUCAGAUAACAAUACAAUAUAUACAGAAGUUAUAUCUUUUUUAAAUUAUAUUUUCAGAUUUUGGAUAAUUCUUACUGUUCUUAAUAUUAAUCAAUUAUCUAAUCAAAAUCAAUUAAAAUUUCGUUCUUAUUUUUUAAUUUAUUUAUACAUUUUAUUCAUUAAGGGUUAAACUAUAUUAACCACUCUAACUUUCAACGUGAGAACUUCAUUGCGAAAAUUUACUUCGCAAAUAAUAGUUUAAAAUUAUAUAAUUAAAAAAAUUGUUUGAUUGAUAUUUAAUUAUAUAAUUUAUGUUUUUAACGUUUUACUAAAAUACUUUUUCAGAUAACAAUACAAUAUAUAUAUAUAAAUUAUCUUUUUAAAUUAUAUUUUUAGAUUUUGGAUAAUUCAAUAUUCUAUUUUUAAUUAUAAUUAAUAAUUUUAUUUAAUUAAUAUUUAGUUAUAGAAUUUAUGUUUUUAACUUUUUACUUAAAGACUUUUUCAGAUAACAAUACAAUAUAUACAUAAGUUAUCUCUUUUUUAAAUUAUAUUUUCAGAUUUUGGAUAAUUCUUAACAUUAUAAUUAAUUAAUAAUUAAUAAAUACUUUUUCAUAAAAAUUAAAAUUAUCAUAAAAUAUUUUGUACAUUAGAUAUCAUUUAAACACUAAUGUGAAAUAUUUCAAUUUGUGUUUCAUAUCUGUAAUUAAAUUUAUAUAUUUUAUAAAUAAUAUAUUUAAUUUUAAAACUUAGUUAUUAGUUUCUAUAAAUAAAAAAAUUGAAUUAUUUUAAUAAUUAUUAGUCACAUUAAAAAUAAAAAUUUAUAAAAACAUAAUAUGUUUUAUUAAUAAAGUAUAUUGUAUAAUCCUGAAAUAUAAAAAUUGCCAUUCAACUUUAAGAAAAUAUAAAUAAUUUAUAUAAGAAAAUUUAUAAUUAUUUUCAAAAUUCUAUGUAUUUAAUUUUUGUAUAAUUUAUAAUAUUUAUAUAAGAAAAAACUAUUGCUUUUGAAGUUUUUAAAAAACUAAAAUAAUUUAUAUAAGAAAAUUUUCUAAGUAUUUUUGAAAUUUAAUAUUUUUAUUUUUGCAUAAUUUAUAUAUAUUUUAUGAUUUAUAUUUACUAUAAUAUAUUUUUAAUAAAAAUAUAAUAACUAAAAUAUGUUAUCGUAUUUAAUUUUAAAAUAAUAAUUACAGUAUUUUGAUAAAUUUUAAUUAUAAAAUCUAAAUAUUUAUUGCUAUUUUGCUGUAUUAUUUUAACGUAAUAUAUUAAUUAAUUUUUGAAAAUAGAAAAUACAGCAAAACCAAAAUCAAAAUCUAAAAACCAAAAACCAAAAACUAAAAUCUGAAAACCAAAAACCAAAAACCAAAAACCAAAACUGAAAACUACCAAAACAAUCAGCACCUAAAUAUUUUGGAAAUAUAUGCAAAUCUUAUUUAUUUUCAUAUAUGAUUAAAAUCGUUUUUUUUUUUCAUAUAAAAAUGGAACUAUUUUUUUUUUAAUGGUUAUCUUUUGUUUAAACUACAUAUUUCAAUUUAUGCAUUAAAACCAUUUACUUUGGAAUAUAACAACUAAAAACUAUUACAUUAGAUGAUAUAUAGCUAGAAUUGCAACGAGUCUUACAAACACACUUACAUUAAACCAAACUAAAAACCAUUACCAUUCAACACAAUUAAAACUAACAAACUUUGAUGAAUAAGUCUUAACUUAAGAAACAGCCUCAAAGGUUUGGUGAAUAACUUGUUUAGAUUAAGAAGAAGCUACAGUAUUUCAUUCUGGUAACAAUAAUAAACGUUGGUUGUGUUUGGAAUGAUGAUGUUCUGCAAGAAUGAUGGAGGAACAAGCAAACCAAGUGGUGAUUAUCAUCACACUCGCAUCAACUCAGCCAUGGAAGCAGAUAACUAGAGAGUGAGACGGUCCUAUUAAGCUUGAUAUAUCGAUUCAUAAAUCUCAUCCAUGUCAACACCAUUUCCAUCAUCAUAGAACAUUGGUUAAACAUUAAUUAUCAUCAUCAGACACAAACUUAAAUUUCUCAAAAUCUAUAUCAUUAGCUGCAUCUUCCAAAGAUCUUGCAUUCUUAAUCAAAAGUUCACCUCUUCUCAACCUCAUCAUCACCUCAACUCCUCCUACUUCUCUAACCAUCUCCAAACCUUUCUCUAACUCAUCCACAAACCAAGUCAUCUCUUCAUACUUUUCUUGCAAGGAAAGUUUAGCAUCCGUCAACUUAACCCUAACUCUUUCCUCCCUCCACAUCUCAGCCAUUUGCAACAUCUGCCUUUCCUCCUCCGUCUCAUUCCAUAUCCUCCUUGUUUCCACCUUCAGUUCAUCUAUCCUCGUCACCAGUUCCUCGCACACCUUCUCUAGUGUGUCUCUUUCUCUCCUCAACCGAUUUGCUGUUGAUUCCAUCUCCAACACCUUCUUCUUUAACAUAGAAUUCUCAGCAUUAGCUCUUUUCCUUUCUUCCCUUUCUUUGCUGAACUUCUCCUUCAAGUAAUCAAAAAGCGAAUCAGUAUUUUCUUCCCAGCUUAUCCUUUGGUUUCUUAUACCAUUUUCCUUUGAUCCAAUCUUCUCAGUUUCAAGCUCUUUGAUUCUAGAUUGAGCCUUCCAUAGCUCAUCUUGAAGACGAGGAACAAGGCUACCGUCUAUAUUCUCUUCUUCUUGAAACUUCUCAUAAGGUUCAACGGAGUAAUACGUUCGGCAUGAUCCCAAGUCCCACUUAGUUAUGCCCUCCAUCUGCAACAUUUUUUAAAGGCAAAGAAAAUCAACGUUGAGAGAUCUCAUAAACCAAACCAAAUGAUCACAAACCUGAUAGCUAAAACGUUCUGCACCGUCAGCUUUAGGAGGAAGCUUCUGAAGCCUUGACGCAAGCUUCCUCGCAGAGACUUUGAACCCUUUUGAUUUCUGGUGACUGGAACGUUCGACGGAGGAGACGUAUAUUUUCCGGCGAUGAAGAGCGAGUGACUCGUCCCCGGUGUUCAUAAGGGAUAAAAAAUACAAUGACAAUUAGGAGUUGACCGUUCAGGGACACACAGGUAUAGAGAAUUAUAUACACAUAUAUCUGGAUUUACAUUGAAUCAUAAUGCACAAUAUUAAGAAACAAAUUGAAAACAUUUAAGACAAUGAUUUGCUAUGCAGAUUUGGUCUCUUUGCUUCUAUAUAUGCAGAUUUGGUCUCUUUGCAUCUAUAUAUGAAGGUUUUGAUAUACAUAUAAUAUGUUAACACAUAAGGAGAAAAUAAACUAAAUUAAUGCGUAUGAUAUAGUCUAAGCAGGAUAAGUACUGAAACUAAAUCGAAUAUUUUCUUCCAAAAAUUGUAAUUAUACCAAUUUUUUUCUUUUUUUCUUUUAAUUGUAGCUGAAUAUAUGUUCUAGUUUACCUUUAAUUUUUUUUCUUCUUAUUAUGAAUUUUCAAACUGUUCUUUGGUUGAUGAUUGAUGAACAAGUUUUCACUCUUUCUUGCCAAUACAUUCUUGCCAAUACAAUACACUGCAUGUUAUAAAGAAACAUGAUCUGCUCUUCAGGAAAAGCUCAUUACUACCAUGCAUUAUACAUUCACAUAGUUAUUAGAUUGGCUACACUACUGUGAAUAGUCACUAAGCACAAACCAAAUCAAAUCUCCAUUUGAAUUAGCACAUUUGCAGAACCAACAAACUUGGAAAACUAAGUGUCAAUUAAAGAGCAAGAACAAUGAAAAGAAACAUAAGAACCAUCCAACAACAAAACUAAAACCAGAGAGGGACAAAAGCAAAGAACCAUCCAACAUCUGAACCUGUCUUUUUAAGACAGUUGGCGACGCUUGUAACGCACCAUAACAUUGCCUUUAACACCAACCACCAUAGCGUUCCAGUCAAUCUCAGGAAACGGCGAAACCAACUCAAGCUCAAAGUUCCUCAACAAAUGACUCCAUAUAGCUUUGAUCUGAAGGUAAGCAAAGGGCUCUCCAAGACACCCAUGCCUACCUCCACCGAACGAAAUGUACGAAAACGCCCCUGCGGCUUUGUCCUCCUCUCUUCCCACGGAGAAUCUAUCAGGGUCGUAGCUGUCAGGGUUCUUGAAGAUAUGCGGCAAGCGGUUGGCAAACGCAGGCGAGGUUGCAACGAUAUGACCCUUAGGGAUGUCAUACGUUUUACCAUCCCUUGUCGUGACGUUGAAGUCACUGUGGGAGGCUCUCAUGAGCAUGAUCAACGGAGGGUGAAGCCUCAAGGCUUCCUUAAUGCAGCGGUAGAGAACAUCCAUCUCGGAUAAGAUGUCGUGAUCAAUCUUGUCUCCGUGUUUCUCCAUCAGCUUCCUCUGCUCAUCCAAAGCGGCAGAGAAGUGUUCCUUGUAUUUCAUCAGGUAAGCACCGGUCCACGUGGAGGUGAUGGAGCUAGUGUGCUGUCCUGCGAAGAGAGCAGCGAUGAGCAAACCCGUCACUUCGGAUUCGGUCGUCUGCCUACCGUCUUUGUACUUUGACUCGAUGAAACACUGCAAGAUGUCGUUUCCGGCUUUGUCUGAACGUUUUCUUGAUCCUAUGAUCUUUGAGAAGAUCUCGGAGAGCUUUUGUCUGGCACGGUCGCGACGACGGUGAGCUGGAAGCGGGAGGUAGGGGAAGAGGACACUGAUGGGAAGCAUUCCGUUGUCGAGGUCAUGGAACAAAGCAGAGACGUCAUCGAAAAGCUGGUCACGAACUUCUCGGCCUAGUAGACAUCUACUUGCAGUUAAGAUGAUGAGACGCUCUAGCUCAUCCUUUAGAUCAACUUCACCACUCUCUCCCCAUUUCGAGAAGAAGUUCUGCACAAGUAUUCACAAAUGAAGCUACCAAUGUAUUGCUACGAGGUAAUUAGGCGCAUGAUUAGUACCUAGGCGCAGAUUAUUCAGAACCAAGUCAUGAACUAGGACUUAACAAAUUUAUUUUAUACAGAUUUUAAAAAUGAAGCUACCCAUGUUCGAAAAGUAACUACGCAGUAACCAUGCACUCUAUAGAGAAUUAGCUCCUAAGAAGAUAAUUCGGGACCAAGGCGGCAACUAAACUAGACGUUAACAAAUUAUUGAUUUAUUUUAUACAGAUUUUAAAUUUAUAAAAGAUAUUUUAGUUUUUGGGUAUAAUUAUAAAAUUAUUUUGAUGACGUACCAAAAUUAGAUAUACAAAAUAAAACAAUUUUUGUGAAUGUUUACAAAUAUUAUUACUUAAUUUAAUAGAUUUAUACUAAUUUAAAUCGAUUCAAACCGUUUUAGAAUGAUUUAAAUCUAUUUAAAAUGGUUUAAACCGAUUUGAAUUAUAAAAAUCGGAUUUUCGUUUUGGUUAGAGGGGGAUUUGCCUUUUAGAACCUUGGAAACUACCAAACGAAAACACACAACAGCUACUUAGUAGAAGAUGUUAGUAUAUAUUACCUCAGCUUCAGUAACCAUCAUGUCCACAUAACCUUUCAACUUAUUGACUCUAAGUGCCUCAGUGAAGAACCUGAACUGCUCCUGACGAACUGAGUAGUCAACAUCGAAAACAACUCCAGGGCCAAAGGUAGGCACAUUGAACUGGUACACUUCCUGCUGGCUGAGAUCAGACUCAGGAGCUUUGAAGAAAUGGGCAGAGACUUCAGGACCGAUGAGAAAGGUCAUCUUUUUGUGGAGAAGGUUCACUGUGAAGACGCUUCCGAGGUUGGGAUACUCGUCUCUCAGCAUAACGAUGGGACCUUUCAGGAACCGGAGGAGGCUUCCGAUGAGUGGAGGAUAGGCUUGGAGAGUUGGUGGAAGACGCUUCUUCUUGGAGGAGGAAGUGAAGAAGGUGAAGAUGAGUUUGGUUACGAGGAGUGUCGCUGUUAUGACCAAACCUGUCUUUAACAGCUUGUUGUCUGAAUCUAAUUCCAUCUGUCAAAAGAGAGUAGAUUCAGAUCGUGAUUGGUUGAGAUUGAUUCGUGACUGAUGAAGUUUAAGACUUUAAAGAAAUGAGCUAGUGGAGAGUGAGACAGAGAGGUUUAGAAACUAGAGGGAGAGUGAGGAAAGCUUACAUUGGAGGAAUGAAGGAGACGAGUUUGAGAGACGGCGCGUGGGGAAGAGGAAGAAGAAGAAAGGUUUAGUCUUUGAGAUUUGUUAUGGCGAUGGAGAUGAGAGAUAUCGUCGCUUUCGACGCUGACUGAAACUGCUGCUUUCUCUCACCGGUUUAAUAAUACUCUUUUUCCGAUUUAUUAUUUAUUCUAAAAAUGAAAUUCAGCUGUUAUACACGUGGCAUAUUUAACGGUUUUUGUUGAUUGUUUGGUAUUAAAUAUUCAACGAAAAUAUUGAAAACCAACGGCUGGUUUUUAUUUUUAUAUUUUUAUUCAUUUUUAAUGGAGUUCAAACUAAUUUCUGUUUUAAGAAAAAAAAAACUCAAAAGAUACAUUUUUAUUUUUAAUUUUUUUUUGAAAAAUUGUAAUUUUUUAAAAAAUAUUACGUUUGUUAAAAUUUUAUUGGUUAAUUUUUUUAAAAUAGUUAAUUACAAAAAUAAAGCAUUAAAAGUUAAUAUGUUUGAUUAAUAUGUGGGUGAAUUAUAGAAUGUGGAUUAUUUUUAAACGAUUUGCUGUGAAGGUUUAAAACAAUAUGGUUUUAUUAAUCAUCUUUUUUGUUUUUUUUUUCUGUCCAUCAACAUUAGUGGAUCAUAAUAGCAGGUUAGGAUUAGGAUGUUGUCUAAUGACAGUCUUCUUGUCCAAAGUUUUAUUAUUAUAGUUUUAGUAGGUAAACUUUGAGAGUAUUGUCAAAUUAAUCUAGGACAAUCAAACCAUUUACUAUUUUUUAUAGACUCUGAAUAUGCAAACUAUUAAAGUUUAUGGAAUGGGUUGGUUGGAUCCAUCUAUGUAUUUUGAUAAAUUGACACACAUCUUUGAGAUGAAACAUAUAGUCACACAACAUAAAAAUCAUGAACAAAUGGUUUUGUAAAACAUAGAGAUACUCUGAGUAAUAGCUCGAAUGGUGGUGGACCAAGUACAAUCGAUGAAUAAGAUUUGUCAAAUGUGCCUUGACGGAGAUAACAGCUCAAGUACCUUUUUUAACUAUUAAAAAAAACAAAGUGACCCAGUCGUAGUUAGCUCGUGACCACUACACAUGCGAGAUUGAUCUCUGACCACACUUGAUUGGUACUAUUAUAUAUCCCUUCUUUGUCCUAGUACAAAGUUGUGUUAAGCUAAUUUAAUUGUGUAUGUCGAGGAGCCUGCGCCUAGUGAUCUUUAUAAAUUACGCACACAGAAUUGUCACAAUAUUAGCAAAACUCAGUACCGUGAUAAAUCUGGUUUAGCUGAGGAUAAUGAAACCACACAUAUAUAUAUAUGAUAAAUUUGAAUUUUUUUUAUAAUGAAAAUCAAUUCAGUUGUCUACCUUUUAUUAUAAAAAUGAAAUGCAAAAAUGAAAUAUAGAGUAGAAUAUGGAUUAUAUAUAAGUCGGGUAUUUAAUAUGCAAAAGUAUCAUAUAAGAAGAUUUUCAUUGGAGAGGUUUUUAACUAAAGUAUCUAGUAUUAAAAAGAUAAGAAUUAAUUGAAUGAGUAUCUUAAAAUGGUGACAUACACAUCUAAUGAUAUCUAAAAGUAUAUAUCUCACAGUUUUGAGAUGCCUAUUCAAUUAACCUUUUUAGAUUAGAUAUUCAAAAUUAAGAAUCCCUCCAAUGGAGAUGGUCCAGAAGAUAACAUCACAGACCAAAAAAAAACAUAGUUUUAUGUCUGCUCUGUAAUUCUCUCUUUUCACAAGGAGUUUCUGAUUAUAUCAUCAUAGGCUUAUCUUCAAUCUGAAGGCCCACUUUUAUAUUGGGCCCAGUUACGUUUAUGAUUCUCAAUAUUAGAACCCUUCGGAGACAUGAUGUUAGGAGGAUAUUAGGAUAUCACCAGAUCGGGAAGAUGAACUGAUUCACCGGAGAUUGUGGCCUGGUAACAUAAAUAACAACGAAGAAAGCCAGCUCGUUCGUUGUACUUGUACCGGUUCUUAACCAGACACAGCCAGUCUCCCAGCAUGGUUAUACCAAGAUCGGUUUACUUAUCAAUUGGUGAUUUUCUUUGGUCGCACCGGUACGGUCAACUACGAAAGUUGUACGUUGAGUAGACCGCCGAAAUUAGGUAGGUUUUUGUCGCCAAGUAGGUAGGUUUCAUAUUAAUUCAUGAUGCUUGAAAAUCUUUUAUUGUACCAAAAAAAUCUUCAUACGGAAGCAUAUCAUAGGUUUAAUUGUCAAUGAUGUGUGAUUUGCUUUUAAAUUAUACAUAAUUCAUGCCAUACUAUAAGGCUUAUAGUAAAUUAGUAAUAGCAUGCAUGCAUAUAUCAUAUUUUGGUUCGCGUAUACUAAAAACAAUAUUUAAGAUCACUAAACUUAAAAUGUCAAAAGAUAUGGCAAUGCCGAAGGAUAAGAUUAUUCGAUAGACAAUCACAUGGGCUAUCUUUUAAUCGAUUCAUGAUUAACUAGGGACAGUAUUGCAUGGAUUGCGGUUACUAUCCCUAAUGAUUCAACAACCGGAUAUAUACAUGGAAUUAAUUAACAAGUGUACUUGAAAUUUAUAAGAAGAUAUGUUAAAUAUGUAGCUGUUAGUGUAUCACUCUAACUAGUUGAUAUAGUAUAAUAGUACUAUGUAGUAUUGAACUCAAAACUAUUAUUCGUAUGCUUUGUUCGAGUUCAAGAAAGAUUAAAAAAAAAAUUCUUUAACGAUAAAGUUCCGCUUCUAAAAGAAAAGAAGAUGUUCCGCUUACGAUAAAAAUUUACAGUAGAGUACGUAUGGAAAUAUAUUAAAAAAGAUCGCAAAUCUCAAGAUAUAUCCUCAAAAUAUGCAUUACUUAAUCGAACCAUUAGUGGUUUUUAUAGACUAUUGUGAUCCAAUAAAAUACUGUAUUUAGUAUUGAAAUCAAGUAUUAGUCUCGAAUCUCGAUACUUUGGUUAAAAACGUGGAAAUUAAGAAAUUAUAAAUAUUUCAUUUUAAGCAAUCAAAAUACUGCAGAGUAUACUGAGGUAUUUUAAAUAAAUAUACAUUUAUGUUGAAUUUGAAAUAUAUAGAUCAUAAAAAUUCUAAAUAUCUUACAUAAUAGAACAUUAAGAUUGUUAUUUAUCAAUUAUAUAGUAUAUUAUCCAGUAAAUGUUAAUAUCUGAUUUUUCAUUAUACUUGGUACGACUAAAAAUAUCCUUUUGGUCAUUUUCCAAAUCUAUAAAAAUUAUAAGGAUCCCGCAUUCUUCUAGUUCUAGUACUGCAGGUUUUCCACUACUCAAAACAAAAGCAAUUAUUAUUUUAUUUAUUUUACUUUUUAUUUUAUUUUAUUUAAAACUAUAGUUUACUUUAUUUUUGUAGUCUUAGUUUACUCUUCAUUUACUUUCUCCAUGUUACUCCUCUAGUUCACUUGGUAGACCGUAGAUCCAUGAUUCGGCUCAAGCAAUUAUUACCAUAAAGUAGGGCUGGACAUUUGUAAAAGGAUACUAUCCAUUUGGAUAUUGGUUUUUUGGAUUUUGAAAAAUGAUCCCAAUCGGAUAUUACAAAAGAACUAGGAUGGGUUCGAGUCGGAUCCGGGUGGGUUCAGAUAACCAAAGUAACCAAACUUCUCCAUUCGACUCGGGUAUUUUAUAUCUAAAAUACUCAAACUUAUCCUAAAUAACUUAAAAACUACAAAAUACUCAGUUUAUGUAGUUUGAAUAGUUUUUUUGUCUGAAAGUAACCAUGAAUAUAAAAUUAUUUGAGUAUAUUUAUCCAAAAUAUCUAUUUCAUCUGCAAAUAAUAACUAAUAUAUUUGGUUUAUAAUUUUAAUUUAGAUAUUAAUACUAUUAUAAAUAUAAUUUAAAAAUAAUACUUUAUAUAAAUAUUUAUAUGUUUGGAUAUUUUUUGAUACAUGUUCGGUUCUCGGUACGGAUCAGGUUUAGUUUUGGUUUUUUCGGUUUUGAAAAAUGGUCUCAUUCGGAUAUUUAGACAGGAUCCGACCAGAUCAAGUAUCCUAUUUUUCAGAUCGGUUCAGGUAAAUAUUUCGAGUAUGAUAUUAUGUCCAGCCCUACAUAAAGUCCUAAAUAACUCGUGCUACAAACUUGAUUGGGAGAUAAAACCAUGUAGGAAAUAUAUUGUCCCACUUUAUUUUCAGAAUAAAUUGUAGUAAACUAAAAUCAAGCAGAACCGAUUUUUCUUUUAAAACGAACAUUUUUUUUGUUUUUUUUUUGUAAUAAGGAAACCGAAUAUAAUUUCAAUUAGUUUUUUUUUUGACAAAAAAUUCAAUCAGUUUCAAUAUCUUAAACGUAAAGAUUUGUUUUAUUGAAAACCUACAUUCAAUCAGUUAAAAAAAAAAACUAAAUUCAAAUCCAAACGCUUCCAAGAGUGGGCAUACCUGACUAUUUUAUAUAGACGAUCAAAAGCAUUUAAGUUGUACAGUAGUUUCUAAAUUUACAAAAACAAAAUCAUGAUUUAUUUUAAGCAAAAAAGAGUCAUGAUUUAGUACCAAAGAUCGCAUUUUUUUUAAAGUCUCAUUAGAACUAAGAUAUGACCACCACGCGAUUCUCGAGUUGUAUAAUUAUUUCUUACCCUAAUAUCCCGCAAGAAUCUCAACUUUUAUGCGUCACACGUGUUCACGUGUAUAACACAAAAUCAUAUAUGUUCACACUUACAUAUUUAGUUGCAUAAUAUCAUGCUCGACCGGUUGUUGGAGAGCUAGUAGGUAUAACUUAUACUUAUCUUGAUUUAGGGUUAUUAAAAUGAUUGUCAAUAUUCGUCAAAAGAAAGUAAAUUAAUAAUUCAGCAAGUUUGUUGACCAAAAAUACAGUUGCCACUCUAAUGUACAGAAAUUAUGAGUUCCAAAAUCCAUAUAUUUCAACCAUUUUAAAUUAAUUUUAUAAAGACAAUUCUAGGGAAAACCUCUAAUUAGUCUGAUGGAAUCAAAUGAUUGGAAAAGGCAAACGUCAGACUCGAAUACAAGCUCUCGUUCACUACGUAAUACCAUCGCUAGCUUUACUAGACGACAUAUCAAAAUUAUAUGUGACCUAAUCAUGAACGUCUUGAUUAUGUCGUGCGAUAGAUCUGAUUCUAUGUCGACCAGAGGCCCAUUGUCUUUUCUUAAUAUUAUUGGUUAGUGUUGUAGUUCUAGGUUAUUUGCUUUAAUAUUUAGGCUGUAGAUAUUUUGACUAUGAUUUUAACUUUAAAUCGUUGUGCCUUAUUUUUAAAGAUAUCAAAACACACAUAAAAGUUUUAUAAAAACUGAUUUCCAGAUCUAGUAUAUUUCAUUUUCUAUUUUUUUUUGUUCUAGAUACGUAUUUAAAAACUAAAUCAUGAGUGUUUCAUAAAAGUGUUUAAAAUAUAAAAAUGGUUGUGUAAAGUUCCUACAACACUUUCCAAUCAAUUUAUAGUACGGAAUUUUGUGGAUACAUUUAUUUAGUACGUCAUAAAAGAUAAUAGUCACUCCAUUCUCGAAAGUAAGAUUUUCUAGAUUUUUUAUUGUGUCACAAAGAUAUAUUUUCUAUAUUUUUAAGGUAUUUUUUAUACUUUUGAAAAAAUAUUAAUUACAAAUAUUUGAAUUGAUUAAAUUUAAUUGGUGGAGAGUAAUUGACAAGUGUAUAAAAAAAUAAAUGAUAAAUUAAACUGUAAAUAUUUAUUAUAUUUUUAAUAAGCGUUAAAUCUUUAGAAAAUUUUACUUUCGGGAAUGGAGAUAAUAUUACAUAUUUUUAUCAAAGAUAGGAAUAAGAUACUCAAAGUAUUUACCCAAAAUUUAUAAACAUCCGAAGUUAAUAUAUCUGAUUGCCCUAUAAUGCGCUCCAAUGUAAUCCAUAAUGUCCUUUUAUUUUAACAAUAUAAUUUAUGCCGUAUCAAGUUCGUGUCGAAUUUAUAAAUCGCAGAAAAUAUGUAUUUUCUUGGAAUAUAUUUUAAAUCAUAACCAUAAAACGUUUCUUGGUACAAAGAGGUAACCUUAGAUAAUCUCUCUCUCCUUCAGCUCUGUUCUCUCUCUACGAUCCGACACAGAGGAAGGAGGAGAUGAGAUCUCGGCCGGAGUUUCUUGUGGUUCCGGUUCCAGUUUAUCAAAAUCGAUUCUGGGAGGCGGUGAUUCUAUACACCGACGUCGCCAGCUCAGUUUCCGAGAACCGAUGGCUUCAAUAGCAUCGGUUUCGUCGGCUUUAGAUUCCGGGAAUCGGUGGCUCUAAAAGCACCGUCUUCUCCGGCUUCUCGGUCUGUGGAUCUUCGCUUUUGCUCUCUCUUCGCUCAAUCAACUCUCGAUCUGAGACUCCAUGUUUGGUUGUUUCUUGGAUCGAUCGUAGAUGAUUGUUGUUUUAAAGCGUGGAUCGGUUACGGGUUUAAAAGCUCACCGUUGAAGGGUCUCAAGUGGUGAGGGAAGAAGAGUUGGGUUCGUUGGCUCUGGAGGAGUUCUCGGGAUGGUCUCGAUGUUGCUCUCCGUUCGAAAGAGUCCAGGUGAAAAAGAUGGGUGAGAUGGUCGGCCUCCGGCGUGUUCCGGCGAAACUACUGGUGGUUUCGUCUUCUCCGGCGGCGUCUUCUCGGUGUCAGUUGCGGUUUACUGCUCGGGUGACGCGUGUCUCUCGGUGGAGCGGGUCUCAACACGUGGUCAAUUAGAUGUUGUAGACGUGUUUUGUCGGCUUGUCCGACUUAGUUUUGGGCCUGAGGCCGUUGUGUUUUUUUUUUGUUUUGUUGGCCCGUUGAUUUUGACUUUCGGGAUUGGGCUUUCCUGUUUGGUUUUUGGGCUUGGCACAUUUAAUAAAAUAUAGAUGGCAAAAAAAAAAAGAGAGGUAACCUUAGAUUGUUUCUUGUUGUCGUUUUCUGCAUCUCUCAUUAGACUAUUUAAUUAACAAUAAACAAUAUCUUGAUCCUAAUGUUUUCGUCGUUCGUGAACCGUCGGACGCUAAAUUUCAGCUCUUUGACCUUUGAUAACUUAUAGUAUUAUUUAAUUUUCUCUAGGAAAAUACCUGUGUAUUCCGAUGCAGAAAAUUUAAGUACACUUUUACAUUUGAUCAAAAAUUAAAUAUGUUAACAAUCAGGUAAGCGUCAUGAUGAGCACUAUAACUUUUUUUUUCGAAACUAAAUGUAUGAGCACUAUAACUUAACACCGAUUACAAACAACAAUCAAGCUGUAAAAAUCCUAACAGUUGUUCAUAUGGUCGCCACUAUAUUUAUACAGUACGUAUAAACAAACACCAUAAUAGACACUGCUCUCACACACCAAAAAUGGGAAUGUCAUUUUCAUUUAAGACUUUCGAACAACCAAGGGAAUUUCUGUUCAUAUUAAAGAGCCUAUAGCACUGGCUAGUCGCUCAAUAUAAUAAAGAGAAUAUGUGCGUAUAAGAUUUGGGUUUACACACAUGAUUCAUAUCUGAUGUAUUAGUUUUAAUAAAAAUUUAGAACGAAAAAGCAUGUACACACUAACACACACAUAAUAUACAGCCAAAGGUUGUACAUACUCUAUCGCGUUUACAUUAAUAUUCCAACGUGUAGAAAUUACAACUUAAUAACUAAUCUUUUAUUUACCCUAUAUGUUUCGUUGGUGGCUUCUAAAGACUAUCAUGCACACAUUACAAAAUAUCAACAAACUAUAUAUACAAUUCUAGAAGCAAAAUAUAUUCAUCAUAAGCUUAGUUAAAACAAAAAACAUAAAUUCAUCCUUUUUACAAACUAUAUUUUAGAAGAAGAAAAAGUAUUUUCUAAUAGAUGCAGUUACUGUAACUUAUAAUUACGACACACCUGAAUAGAAUCAUACAAUAUUAAUUACAUCAAAUGCUCUAUCCUCUAAUUAGUGAAAAGGUCUUAGAGAAUUAACAUUGCUAGGAAAAAACUUCUUUCAGCUUAAAAGGAAAAAUAUCACAAGCAAUCACGAAAGUCCUUUUUUUUUGUGGUAAAAGCAAUCACGAAAGUUCCAGUCGAUUUUUUUUUAUUAAUGGAUUCAUAUUCGUUGGUCAACUAAUCACCACGAUUAUUCUGAUUUCUUUAAUAUUUUGAAGCUUUUUUUCUUCUUCUGAAAUUGACUUGUCAAAUACUCCAGAUAAUAAUAAUACUAAUUAUUAUUAUUCAAUAUUAUUAAUAAACAAAGUUACAACAAUGUACGAGUAGGUCCUUUCUAAAAAAAAUGUACGAGUAGGAGCUUCGUGUAAAGUGUCCUCGUGACUCACUUGUCCGCGUUUGUGAACCAUCAGUCAACGCAAUCUGACCUUCCAAUCAAAAUCGUCUUCGUGAAUUUUAAAAGCACGAGUUUGGCAUGUCUAACGUGGCACCUUUUGUACGUCACAUCUUUUACGUCUACGUCACCACAUUCACGUUUCCCCCUUUUUCUUCACUUGCUUAUUUAGUAAUUUUAUGGAGUAGUAUUUUCUUUUUACAAAGUUGUUUUGUUCCCGUCGAUUGUAUUGAGUUAGUCUAAUUAAUUAAUGGUUGAUUUUCAAAGGAUGUGUCGCAUUGGAGUGUCAAAAUAUUGAAUAUGUUGUUCCUUUAAGAGUUUUAGAAGGCCUGUCGUUGCACAAGUAAUGAAUAGAGAUCAAACUAUACUCUAUGUUUGUAAACUGAAUCAUCUAUCGUGAUUUAUCGGAAUUUGCUUAAGAGUAUGAUGCGAAUUAGAUAUAUUGUUAAAUGCAUAAUAUUAUAUAUAUCGAGUGGCGGACUCAAAGCCAAGGGUAUGGGGUCACCCAUCUCUUUUCUUUUUAUUUUCUGUAGUAAUUAGUACUCCCUCUGUUUCAAAAUACUUGAUGUUUUAGAUGAAUGCACAAGAAUUAAGACAUACUCUUUUUCCUAAAAAGUAACAUUAAAAAUAUAAAGUAAAACUAAUUCAGCCAAUCACAAAACCCACUAUAAAACAUCAUUGGUGACACAGUUUUCUGUAAAACUAAAACUAAUAUAAAAAUAUCAAAACAUCAAGUAUUUUGAAACAUUUUAAACUCUCCAAAACAUCAUCUAUUUUGAAACAGAGGGAGUAUAAGACAUAAGGAGAACCCCAAUUAGAACACUAGAUAUAGGGUCUGACUGGUUAAAACGCAGCAGCUGCGGUUGCGGGUGACUGCGGUUUCUAGCGGUUUUACGAGAUUUGUACGAUUGGUUUUGCGGUUAGAAAUUUGUACGUUUCCGGGAUAUUUAUGACUGCUUAACUACCAAAUGCAACAUCAAUUAAAUAAUAAAUUAAUUAUAUUUACAUUUUAUAUAAUUAUAAAAAUAUCAAAAAUCAUAAUAUUAUAAUAAAUAUAAAAAAUAUAUUUAGAAAGUUAUAGUUUUAAAUUUUUUAAAAUUAUAGAAUUUCAUUUUAAAAAUUUAUGAUAUUAAUUAAAAUAUAAUAGAUAUAUUUUAGUAUUUUUAUAAUUCCAAUUUAAAAAUUUAUUGAAUUUUCUCUUUUUAAUUUAUAUUUUUUUAAAGAAAAAAAAUUUAUUCUCCCGCAACCGCAACCGCAAACGCUAGUUGGAACCAACUUUUGAAUUUAUGAGGUUUAAAGUGGUUUGAAGCAGUUUAGUACAGUUUAAAACAGUUUGAGUGAUUGUUGCAAAAUGCCAACAACCGCUACCAGUCAUACCCAUAGGUGUAUAAUUGUCAUGUGCCCCGGUCUACGUAUAAUCUUGGAUCCGCCCCAUUAUAUAUCACAUGUGUAGUAUGGUAAGAAUUAGAACGGAAAAUGUGAAGAAAAUAAAUGGUAUUUGUUGGAAGUUCGAUCGCAGGUGGGUUGCAGCUAACACAUUUUCUUUGUCGGCAACCAAUAAAUCACACCCACACUAUGCUUUUGCAGAUAGGAUUCAUAUAUUGUAGAUCUUUUUCCAACUUGGGUUUUUAUUUACUUAUAUAAUACCUGGAUUUGAAAAAUUAUAAUGACAGUGUGAGAAAUUAUUUGAUAUUUUUUAAAAAAUACAGAAAAUCAGGUAUUUGCAAAUGUGUUUACAAUAAUUCCGUGUAUAGAAUUCCAGAAAACUAUUCUGCUAAUUUAUUUAAAUUAGUUAUUAUUUUUUCCAUUGAUUUCUUUCAUGCUAAAAGUAAAAGCAUUUUGGAUCGGCUAACAUUAUUUUUGCUUUACAACUUCAACUGAUUGUGACAGUUUGAAAUCUAUUAAGUCCUUAUGGAUUUGUCCCUAAGUAAAAUCUAUUUUUUCCAUUGCUUUCUUUCAUGCUAAAAGGGCAACAUUAUUGGUUGGACAAACUUUUGUCCUUAGAAUUAAUUAGUAUUAUUUUUUAGUUAGGGACAAAUCCAUAAGGACUUUUUUAAUUUUGUUGAUUAUUGGUAGGACAAAAAAAGUCCUUAGCAUAUUUUAUAAUAUUUAUUUUAAUGUGUGAUUAGAUAUAAAAAAUACAUUUUAAAUAAACAACAAAUAAUUACACAAUCUAGAUCAUAAACUCAUCAUACAUCUCAGUUUCAUCGAUAACAGAACACAUUUACCAGAUGCGAAGAACACAUUACACGUCUACUGAAUCGAUAAACACAUCUCACCUAAAUCUACACGAUAACAUCACCAAAUACAAAUGAAUCAUUUAUCAUCAAAGACUAAAGAGACGACAAUAUAAAUACCAAAUCCCUAAAUCUAUAGAAAUUCAAGCAAAUGAUUCAAAGUAUAAAUACAUGCAAAUCCCUAAAAUCACCCUUUCACCUUCGAUUCGCAGCGAUAAAGGUCGGGAGGAGACGAUCGAGGGGAGAUCCUAUUGUAUUGUUAUCUGAAAAAUCUUUUAGUGAAAAAUUAAAAACAUAAUUAUAUAACUAUAUAUUAAAAUUAUUAAUUAUAUAAUUAAUUGAAUUAUCCAAAAUCUAAAAAAAUAAUUAAAAAAGAUAAAUUCUAUAUAUAUAUAUAUUGUAUUGUUAUCUGAAAAAGUCUUUUACUAAAAAGUUAAAAAAAACAUAAAUUAGAUAAUUAAAUAUUAAUCAAAUAAAUUUUUUAAUUCUAUAAUUAAAAUAGAAUAUUAAGUUAUUUUAAGAUUUAUUUUAAUAUAAUGAAUAUAGUGUACAAAAAACUUUUCAAAAAUUUAUGAAAAUGUUUAAGCUCGCAUUGCAGGCAAAACACCUUAUCUAUACUAUUAUUUGCGAAGUAAAAUUUUGGAAUCGAGCUCUCACGUUGAAAGUUAGAGCGGUUAAUAUCUAUACUACCCUUAAUGAAUUUUAUAUAUAUACUAUUUCUUAUAUAAUUAAUUUAUUUAGAGAAAAUUAUCUAUAUGUCACAUUUGAUGUAUGUCUCCUUUUCAUUAUAUGAUUUGGUUGAUUUCAACAUAAUUUGUUUCUAUCUUUAAUUCGUCAUUAUUAUCCCUAUUAUCAUUGGAUUUAUCUUUCUAAAUAAAACAAACUAUUUAACCAAUGAUGUGUAUAUAUAUGUAAGUUAAUCCCCACGUCCUUAAAAGCUUCAAAAUCAAACUUCUAAUAUCUAAAUAACAUCUUUUUACUCAGUGCAAAACAUGUCCCAUCCACGAAGGAAGACAGCUACUUUAGUCUUUAUUGACGAUAUUAAACCAGAGAACAAUAGUUACAAAUUAAAGGUGCAGGUUAUGAAAUUGUGGAAGCUAUGGAGAUCAAAAAAAGUUGUCUCCAUUGAGAUGGUUCUUGUGGAUGCAACUGUGAGUACACUACAAUAUUAUUUUUGAUGAUUUCUAUUUUUAGUUUAUGUAAGAUUAUCUAACUUAUUCAAUUGUAGGGAACAAGGAUACAUGCAUCCAUUGAUGAGGAUUUGAUACAAAUAUAUGAAGGAAAAGUGUCUGAGGGUAUCUUUAAGUACAUUACAAAGGGACCAGAUUAUGUUAGAGCUUCGGUCCAAGGGGAUGAUACAGAUGAUACUAUCGACGAUGAGAUACAGAAGUUCCUUAGUUGCAGGUAUGUGCUAAUAAUAUACAAACUGUUUUGUCUCUUUCUGAUGUUUUUUCUCUUGAGUCCAUAGUUUUUUUUAUAAAAAAAAGAAGAAAAAAGAAAUUAGGACUCGGGGAGGAGAUGAAACGUGUGCAUAGUUUAGCCAAAUCAACUACUGUCUACUCUCUUGAUUUAAUAGUGUUACAACAUGAAAUAUUGAUUUUAGUUCUAUUUUGAUUAAUUUAAAAACUAAGAUGAGACAAAAUUUUAGAGAAUAUAUUUGUGUAAUUUAAAAUCAAGUUAGGAAUAUUCUAUCAAAAUUUUAGAGAAUUACUUGUGUACAUAAUUAAUAGUGGGAAUAGGAAUGUUUCUAAAACGACCAGUUCGUUACUAAAAAGAAAAAAUAUAUUAACAACUCCAAUCAAAUAGAAAAACUAAAUUCAAAAUAGUGUUGACAGAUUGCUUUUAUUUGAUGAUGCAGGUAUAUUUCAGCGUGUGAAGCAACUUGGAGAAUACUAGCUUUUCCUACGCAUUACCGAACAACCACAGUAGUUAAGCUUUCCUUCCAUUUACCUAAUCAGCAAAUGGCAAUUUAUAAUGAAGAUGACCCUAUUGACGAUGUUUUAAAUCGUUCUGCGGUAUUGCGGUCAAAGUUUCUAGCAUGGAUGGAGGCGAACUGUAAAUAUCCGGAAGCAAGAGGUCUAACGUAUGCGGAAUUCCCCACAAGGUUUGUUUGGGUACAAAAGACGAGAGAGUGGAAGCCACGUGACAAAGGUUUUGCAAUAGGAAGGAUUACAUAUGUUCCACCUAAAUAUGUUACAUAUUAAAGAUGUAUUUUUUUGUUUUUUCUAUGAAAAAAUUGUAAACUUCAAGAAAAUUAAUUGAUUUUAUUGAAUUACUAUUAGUUAAAAGUUAUUAAAAUUGAAAAUUACAGAAAACAGUAUAGUUAUUAUGGUAAUUUAAUGUGUUUUCUUAAUAUGUGUGAAAAUACUAAAAAGUCUAUUUUUUAAAAAGAGAGAGAGUACUAUCUAAGAGUUUUGCUCAACAUAGUUAAAGGCCCAAGGAGUUAUGAAGAGAUACGUACAGUCAAAGGUAUUGUUUAUAAGACAUAUAAGGAUGCAUGUUAUGCAUUGGGAUUAUUGGAUGAUGAUAAAGAGUAUAUCGAAGCAAUUAACGAAGCCAGUUUAUGGGGAACAUGGAACUUUUUAAGAAAGCUAUUUGCUAUAAUGUUAUUUUCUAAUAGUAUGGCUAUGCUUGUUAAAGUUUGGAACGCAACAUGGAGAAUCUUGACAGAAGAUAUAUUAUACAAAUUAAGAAAGGAAAAUAAUAACCAAAGUAAGUUAUGUUCUUCUUUGUUUAUUAUACUUUAGAUUACGUGUGUGGUAUUUAACCCCUUUUUGUCUUUAGGUGUCUUGAGUCCACGGAAUGAAGAUGUCGACAAGAUCAAUGAAUGUAUGCUAUCUCAAAUAAAAGGUAAAUCUUUUGUCUGAUGUUUAUUUUGUGUGUUUUAGAAAAAGUAUUUGGUUUCAUGUCAAAUCAUUAAUGUUGAUUAUUUUCUUUUGAAUAUUUGAAUAGGUGAGGAGCGUUCGUAUCUCAGUUCAGAUAGUAUAGAUACUUUUGAUACAAGUAAAAUAGGUGAUAUGGUGUACACUCAAGAAUAUUUAAACAGCAUUAAGAUCUCUGGAUUACCAAAUCAUGAUCUAAAGUUGAAAAUCGGUGCACCUAUUAUGCUGCUUAGGAAUAUUGACCCUAAAGGUGGACUAUGCAAUGGUACAAGGUUACUUGUAACACAAUUAGCAAAUCACGUCAUUCAAGCCAAGUUUAUAACCGGUGACAAAGUUGGCCAAAAAGUUUUGCUCCCAAUAAUGUUUGUUUCUCCACCAUAAACCAGAUUUCCGUUUAGGAUGAGACAGAGACAAUUUCCUGUUGCUCUUGCUUUUAGGACAUUAUUAUGAUGCAUCUUAACUGUUUAAUAUUCUCAAAAUUAUUGUGCCCGCGUCCACGCGGGCUGGACACCUAGUUACUAUUAAAUGUAGCCAUGUGGCCAUCGUAGAAACUCCAGACACUGACUCGUUGUUUUUUUUUAUCGUUGUCAUUUACCCACACCCUAGUCCAUGAUGCAGCUGCCUUAUUUUCAGAGGCGUGCCAAUGGUAUAAGUUUUGAGGCAUUAGCCUCAGGCCCCACUUGUUUUAGGAAAUUUAGGGGCCCCAUAUUUGUAGUCAUUAGCAAAAUGAUAAUGUAAUUAGUGUCUUACUGGAAAAGAAAACCUAUGUUUUCUUCUAAUAAUUCGAACUUUUUCUUCUGGUUUCACUUAUUGUCGUGGACACAAGUUUUUUCCUUUUUUUUUGUACGUUGAAGUUUUUUUUAUCAGUUUAAAAAUUAGAUAUAUAUUUUUUUUCCAUCAAAAGUAUUAUAUUUCCACUGGCACUUUCUAUAAUUUUCCUUUUAUAAAAUAACUUCAAAAUCUAAAAUAACAAAAUACCAACUUUUAUUUAGAUGUUGUAUUAAAAAUUAUUAUUAGACUAGUAUUAGAAUUUGUAUUAUUAUCUAUAAUAAAAAAUUGGACAAUUUUGCCUUAGACCCCUAAUACUCUAGGCACGGCACUGCUUAUUUUCCAACGUAUCAUAACUGUAAACAUUUCACAACUUUAAUUAUUGCAAAAAUAUCAACGUGAUGUUAUCUUCACAAAUCUGUUUAAUCGUCUGAAGUGUUGUGGGCAUCUGCCCAUUCAUACCAAACCCGAUAAAACUAUAAACAAAAAGUUUACGAGAAGACAAAGAUUUGUACCUACGUGACAUGACAUCCGGAAUAAGUCGAACGCUCCUACCAAACCGAUCAAAAACCCAAAAAGCUAAGGAGGGUUUUAAGGGGGCUGCUUUAGGAAUGCAGAAAAGCCUUGCCACAGUCGCAAAAGACGCAACAGAAAAGUAAUAAACGUUACAUAACUUGAUUGAUCUCUUGACUGCCGAGUGUAUCGUGUGGACUUUUUCCCGGGAUGGACAUUAAAAUCACGUGUUGUGCUUUGUUUUCUGCGUUUGAUUCCUAAUAAAAUAUACUAACACCAUAAGUAAAUAUCAUGUUUUUGUGUGUUAAAACUUAAGAGUAAAAUAACAUGUUUCUAUGAGAAUUUUAGCUUUUUUUUUUAAUUUUUUUUUUCAAUUUUAGCUUUGUUUUAGCCGCCUUUUAAGAAAAUUAGUUUGGAAGAAAAUAUAUAACCAGUUUAGAUGCAGUAAAACAUAUAUACUAAUACUGUAUGUUUUUAGAUUAUGGUAUUAAGGAUAAUCGGGGAUGAUUGAUAAGUGCUGUAGCUUUAUAUUUUUUGCUGUAGAAUUUAAUCUGUAGAUUUAUUUGUUGUAGUUUUUUUUUAUGUAGAUUUCUAAAGCACUAAUUUUUUGCUCUGGAAAUAAAGUUCUCUAGAGCCAUAUUUUGAUUGCAGAGAUUUUUUUGCUGUGAAUUUUUUAAGGAAAGCAAAACUCGAUUAGUUGACAUAUAUAGUUAUAGACUAAAAUUUGGCUGUCCUGAGCAUCUAUCGCCCCAACCAAUCAUCCCCGUUGAUUUAUGUAUGGAAUGCUAUGUUUCGAACUAAAAAUUAAUCUACGUUAAUAAAAAAAACAAAAUUAGUCUUUUACGUGCUAAGGGCAAAAUAGGUAUCUUGACUUUUCCUCGUCUCUUCCUUUUAAGCAUUCUUUAUUAUCUUGUAAAUAAAAAAAUAGAUAAUUUCGGUCAGUAGACACGGCAAAAUCGCCUUUAUAUAACAGGUCCUCCAAGCCAAGUAGCAGAACGAUAGACACUCGACAAAGAACAAUAAAGAGAGAAAGAGAGUGAAGAGUCGUUAAGAAACAUUCACAUUCUCUUCUUUUUAGUAAAUAAUAUAUAUUUCCAAGAAUGGGUUCGGAAGCUGCCGUCACCGCCGUGGACAACCUCCAGCAACCAUUACUUGAGCCAACGAAGUCAGAAGUUGACUUCAGGAUGGAGAGUGUGUUAACAGACACUCAUUUGCCUUAUCUCCGGCGGCUAUAUUUUGCGGCGUUGAUCGAGCUGAAGUUUCUCUUCAACCUGGCGGCUCCGGCGAUCUUUGUCUACGUCAUUAAUAAUGGCAUGUCCAUGCUCACUCGUAUCUUCGCCGGUCGUAUUGGAAGUAUGCAACUCGCCGCCGCUUCUCUAGGAAACAGUGGUUUCAAUAUGUUCACCUUUGGUCUCAUGGUAAUUAAUUACUACUAAUUACAUUUUCUCUUUAAAACUAAACACAAAUUGUAAAAAAAAAGACUCAACAGUCAGAAACCAACGGAUCUAAUGAAAGUAACAUGAAACCAGAUUUUUUUUUUUUUAAAUGAUUAAUCCUAUAACUUGAAUUUUAUAAAAUAUUUAUAAACGUUAAAUACAGUAAGAGAUAUUUGAAAAAAAAAAUUCAAACCUUUGAUUGACCCAAUAAGCUUUUUAAGUUAAAAUCAAAACCAAAAACAAACUAGAAUUCGAAACAAUUUUUUUUCUAUCACUUUUAUUGUCUGAUAUCUUCUCUUAUAACUUUAUAAGUGAAAAAUUUAUUCUUAAAAAUAAAAUAAUUCUUUUACUUGGUUAUUAGGAUAUUAAUGUUUUUUUUUUUGCAUGGUGACACAGCUUGGAAUGGGAAGUGCAGUGGAAACAUUAUGUGGACAAGCGCACGGAGCUCACAGAUACGAGAUGCUCGGAGUCUAUCUACAAAGAUCAACGGUGGUUCUAUUUCUCACCGGCCUUCCGAUGACAUUACUCUUCAUCUUCUCCAAACCUCUCCUCACUUCACUCGGCGAGCCAGCUGACGUGGCCUCAAUGGCUUCCAUAUUCGUCUACGGUAUGAUCCCAAUGAUCUUCGCUUACGCCGUCAACUUCCCCAUACAAAAGUUUCUCCAGUCACAGAGCAUUGUCACACCUAGCGCUUACAUCUCAGCCGCCACGCUUGUCAUCCACAUUUUCCUCUCUUGGCUAGCCGUCUUCAAGCUCGGGUGGGGCUUACUUGGCCUCUCAGUGAUUCACAGUCUCUCGUGGUGGAUCAUUGUUCUUGCUCAGGUUUUGUAUAUUAAGGUGAGUCCAAGAUGUCGCCGGACUUGGACCGGGUUUAGCUGGAAAGCCUUUGAUGGUCUUUGGGACUUUUUCCGGUUAUCGGCGGCUUCCGCCGUCAUGCUCUGCCUUGAGUCUUGGUAUGCUCAGAUUCUUGUUCUUCUCGCUGGACUUCUCAAGAACCCUGAACUCGCUUUGGAUUCUCUAGCUAUCUGGUAAGUGGAUCAAAACCUUUUGAUCUGCAUUAAAAUUUAGCUUUAAUUUUAAUAUAAGAAAUGAAUCAUUUAUAUAAUAUUAAUGAAGACUGAAGAACAAUAUGAAUCUGAACAUAGGGUAAUAUUUUAUGCUAUAGUUUUAGUUUUUGACCUUAUGAAACAAAGAAUACUAAUAACCAAUAAACAAUUCUUUAGUAUAUACUUCCAAAACUCUUUAGGAUCCAUCCAUGAAAUGUAUUAACUGAUAGUGAGAGUUAAGAACAUUGAAUCUGAACAUUUGAUUAAAUAAUUGGUACGAAUAGAAAUACACUCAAUCUGAUCAAACUAUUGAACUUUUUGUGGUUUCUGUAAAAUAAUAAUUUUUGAUUUUUUUGGCUACUCUCUCCGUAAUCACCUUUUUGAGAAACGCAAGUCACGUUAGUCUACUCAGAAUGUAAUGAUUGUUGUCGUAUUAUGGACUAGUAAUAGCAAUUAGAGUUCGCCACGUGUAGUUAUUUUUUCCGUUAGUCUAAUCUCAGCGUUUUUUUGACGUUUCUUGUGAGCCUAAACCGCGUGUCGUUUCCUUUGGUAAACAAACGGCAUGCUUUCUUUUGGCGGAAAAAGGUGUUGAGUACUCAACUCAAGUGUUGAAUACUAAAUUAUUCUUUUUUUUGGCAGCAUGUCAAUUUCAGCAAUCUCUUUCAUGGUCUCCGUUGGAUUCAACGCAGCUGCAAGGUUGGUCAAAAAUGAUUUGACAAUUUUAGUUAUUUAUGGAAUUGUUUUCGUGCAAAUGGUAACACAUAAACGUAAUAUUUUAAUUAAUAUCUGUCUUUUUUCUAAUUACAGCGUGAGAGUUAGUAAUGAAUUAGGAGCUGGAAAUCCAAGAUCAGCAGCAUUUUCAACCGCAGUAACUACAGGAGUGUCGUUUUUACUAUCACUGUUUGAAGCCGUACUGAUCCUCUCGUGGCGCAAUGUCAUCAGCUACGUUUUUACAGACAGCCCAGCGGUUGCUGAAGCUGUAGCCGAGCUCACUCCUUACUUGGCUAUUACCAUAGUUCUCAAUGGAGUUCAACCUGUUUUAUCUGGUAUAAUAAAGUAGAUAUAUUAUAUGAAAACACCAAAUAAAUGAACUAUUUGUAAAGUGAUUAACAACAAAGGUAACUAAAACAGGCGUUGCCGUUGGAUGUGGAUGGCAAGCAUUUGUGGCGUACGUUAACAUAGGAUGUUAUUACAUUGUGGGGAUCCCUAUUGGUUAUGUUCUUGGUUUCACCUAUGACAUGGGAGCUAAGGUAAAAUUUCUUUGAUUGAAAGAAUCUACAUUCUAAUCAACGAUUAAUGAUUGAUCGGUGUAAAGUGAAAAUAUAAUUAAUUGGUUAAUGAUUUGCUGCAGGGAAUAUGGACAGGAAUGAUUGCGGGUACGCUCAUGCAAACUAUCAUCUUACUCAUUGUCACUUUUCGAACUGAUUGGGAUAAAGAGGUAUAUUACUAAUUACUCCACACACACACACACACACAUAUAUAUCUUUGUGAUAUGUUUCUUAACUAAAACUCAUGUUUUAAUAUUUUUAAUGUCAGGUGGAGAAGGCUUCACGACGAUUGGACCAGUGGGAAGAUACACAAGCGCCGCUUCUUAAGCAGUAAACAAAAAUGAUAUUUUCAAAAAGAAAAUUUAUAUUGGGGGAGAAUUAGAGGUCAAUUAAAUAUAUUUUUCUUCUUCUGGUCUUCUCCAAAUUGAUUUAAAAGGGAUAAAAACCUCAUUAGUUAAUCAAGAGAUCUGUUGAUUAAUGAAUUGGAAAACCGAUAGUUUUCUGAGGGGUUAGAGUGAAGAGAAGGGAGUCAAUGUAUAUUUUUUUUGUAAGAUGAGUUAAUAUUGAGAAGUGAGAAUGAAAUGUUGAAAUAAAAGAUGACGUCUUGCGUGUAAAAGCAACUUUGUUGUAACCAUUUAUUGAAAUGGGGGCAAAUCAAGUAAUGAAUCAUUGGUUUUAUGUACACAACAUUUUCCUUGGAAAUCCUUCAAGAUUUACAAGUUAUAAGUUUACGAAUUUAUAGUUCACUUAAACUUCAACGAAUGAUGUAAUAGUUGGUAAAAUAAUUGAUUGUUCGGUAAUAUAUCUGCUCAUUUAUUAACAUGUACAAAAUAUGUUUUUUUUUGUGUGGUGUGAGUGUGUUUUUGCAUCUAAAGUUAAGGUUAAAUGAAAGAUGUAAUAUUAAACUAAUUGAACGAAUGACGUACUUGGUAAAUAAAAGUCAAAAUUUUAUUGUCUAUUUUUUUUUACGAAUAUCAUUUUAGUGAACUAAAUUACUCAUAAGAAACUGACAAAGAAAGAACAAAAUGUGCAUGAGAUCAAUGAAUAUCUUCAUGCGAAUGUUCAAAGCGAACGUCAUUGAAUUUGUCAAUUUGGGUUUGAUAGAUAUUAAAAGGUUUGCUUGUCAAUGUUCUCUUUUGUCAACAAAAUGUUAUUGUUAAGUAUUUGGAUUUGGAUUUGAUUUGCUUAUGUUUCAUUUUUCUUAAAUAAAUUUGAGCUGUUUUUACGUUACUAUAACUCUGUCUUCUAGUUGGAGAUAACCAAACCAUGACCAAAAGAAGUCGUGAAUAUUGCUGUAGUGAUAUAUAGCUUUUGAGUUUUGAGCUUGCCCCACUAGUUUUCCUCAAUGGUUCCUAGCUGUCUGCUUGUUUUUAAUCUUCAACUCCUCCUGACAUGCAUCAGUGGUGUGAAGUUGUUUAAUCAAAGAUUCACAAAACGCCUCUUCCUUCUGACAUAAAUCCUUGUUGUUCUUCAAAUUAUCAAAUGUUAAGAUUAGGUAAGCGCCUAAUCUCUUAUCCACUUGGUUAAUUUUGUCAAUAAACCUCUUUUAAAUUUAUGUUUACACCCAAAACAAGAAAUUAAAUGAAUAGAAUUAUCCAAGAUGACUAGAUGAUCCACAUGCCAUGCAUAUUAUUAAUGUUCCUAUAUAAAGUUUAAAAGCGGUUUACUGUAUGCAUGCAUAUUAUUUAUAUGGCCACUAUAGAUUUAAAGACCAACUAUAUGGUCAGUCGCUAUUAUUUAUAGUAUAGUGUUUGUUCCUACAUGAGAAGAGUCAACAUUACUAUAUGUUUGGGUCUAUCUUCUACUAAAUCGGCUAGUUUUGUCUGGUGAUACAGAGACGUACUCUGACGAAAAAGAAAAAAAAAAGAUUCCAACUUGUUCAACAAGAAUUUAAAAUGUUACUUGGUUGGAUGCGUAUGAGAUUCGACCUCGUAUGAUUUGAGGGAGACAAUAUUGAAAAGAUGAUAGAGACUGGGAAUCAUCUAAACUUGGGUAUAUGGAUUCAUUCACAAUCAUGCCUAUUUGAUAUGGUGACCUCACCCUCCAACUUAUUAUAAUUUCUUCUUAAAAAUAUACAUUAUGGCGAGUUCACGCCCCUAGCACCAAAAUAAGAUAAUCAAGUCUACGAUCUUUUAUUUCUAUAUAUUUUCUCAAUUAAUUAAAGUAAAAAAUACAUUUAACGAAUAAUCAGUUCAGAAAUAUUUAUUCAAUUUUUUUUUUACAAGUUCCACUUGCUUAUAGGUUCGUUGUCUUUGUUUUUGGUAUUACUAUGCUAAUUUAGUUUAGUGCAUGUGAGAAUAUUCUCGAAAAACCUAAAACAAAUUAACCUGUGGUGGUAGUCUAGUGGCGCUUGAGAAAAAUAACCUAAUACGGUGAACUUUGAUUUAAACUCCACUGGCUACAUAGAUAUGGGUUAUUGCUUGGCUUAUUUGAAUACCUAGGAAAAAGUCUAUCUGUGAGUUGUAUUUCCAUCCGAGGAUUAGGUCUAUGUCUUUAAUAGAUUCGGAUUUAACUCUAUUUUUUUCAAAAAGAAAACCUAAAACAAAUUAAUUUUCCUCGAACAAGACCAAGGAGCUAGUUGAUAUAUUUUUUCUUUUUUUUUGAGCUAGUUGAUAUUAACUUUUUAUACAUAAGAAACCACGUGAUAUACAGUUUUACUGUUGCAAUGAAACUUCUACGACGGCUGUAAAACUAAAAUUAGUCAACACUUUGGGUCUAAUAUUAUUAGAAAACAUAAUGCUUUACAUAUAUGCGUUCCGGCUAAAAUCCAAAUAACCAAGUGGUCUAUGGGCCAUACGAAAUGUCGUACUGUAUAUUGAACUUUUUUGCCCCAAGAAGGAAGUGUAAUUAAUCGUUAUUUUUGCCAUUUUUUUCCUAGAACGAGAAAUCACUCCAGUCUCCACAGAUAUUUAUAUAAGAAAUUUAUAGUCAUAUUAUGUUUUCAUAUUCAAAGCUUUAUGAAUGUAAAUAAAUUGGGAAUUGAUACUAAUUAGUCAAAAUAUUAAAGUAUUUACAUAGUUUCAUAUAUUUCCCUGAUAGAAAUUAGUUGCACAUGUCACAAUCGGUCCAAUUUAUUCAAAUAUUAAACUGUUGAAAAUAUUCACCUUACAGACAAUGAAAUUGAGAAAAUUCCAUUGAGAAAAUUCCACAUGCAGACACAAAAUAAAAAUAAAAUUUUAUAUAAAUUGUGUUAAGUUGAUUAGCGGAAAAAUUGGAUUCUCAAAAUUCAAACCAGUGACAGAGAAGAAAAUAAAAGAAACCGAACAUGAGAGUUACACUACGAGACUGUUAUGCGGCCUUGGUGAAAAAUCAAUCAAGCUCCAUAUCAUCUGAUUUUCUACUUCCAUGUGAUCCGUUAUGUUCCGAUUUGGUAGGAAGAGAGUUUGAUUUCCCAAUGUACUUGCACGUCCUGCAACGCAUUCAAGAUCCUUUGUAGAUUCCAUCUUCAGAUCUUGCUCUACUAAAGAGCUCUCUGUUUGGCCUCCACUAACUCAUCCUUUGUCAAUGCACCAGAGACGUUCUUAACAUCUGGAAUCUCCGUUCUUUUGAUAGCCUUAGGAUCAUUCUACACAUUAAAAACUAAUCUCAGCUUUUGUGCAGAUCACCAAUCAUCGAUUAUUUCAGAAAUUAAUGGAGAUGCAAUGAUUCGAAAUUAGCUUUCUAUAUGUCAGCUCUUCUUUAAAUGGUGUUAAAUCAUACUUACAGUAGAGCUUGAAGUGUCAUCCUUCGUCGCAGAAGAUUGAUGGUUGUUUUCGGAUAUCAUCUCUUCAGAAGUCAUAUUCUCCUUAUGACCUUCUAUUAGCUGUUGCUCAGAAAAAAAAAGAAAGUUUAGCCUAAAGCUAGGUAGAAACAUUAAGGCUACAUUAUCUGCAGAUGAUUAGAUAUAAAAAUGUACUCACAGAAGCUGAAUCGACGCUGACAAUUCCGUGGAGAUUUAGCUGAACUCUUACUUUGACACGUGCUGCUUCUCCGUGGGAAAUUUGAAAAGGACCAAUCUACAAAAUAUUACACAACAGACUAAAGGGUUCCAUAAAAUAUGCAGAGCCUAACCACCCAAAGCAUACUUAGAGCUAUCAAGCCUAAGAGAUAUAAGCCAUUGAUUAUGCGAUGAGCCUACCUCAUAAUCUCUAACUCGAAACACUGGACUAAGCAUCGCACAUCCUCGAGCUACGCACUCACUCGCAUUCACAGUCCUCCCUAGCUCCCUCUUAAACAACGAGCUCAGCAUCUUAGAUACAGCUGGGAUCCUAGACCCCGCGCUGCUUCGCGACCGGGAUUACGCAGUUCUCGUUCCCGAGAUCGAAUCCCACCACACUCAUUUUUUUGUUUCCAGCAAAUCUCAAACACUAGGAUGAUUCUAAUCUACUCACUGAGAAGAAACUGGAUCAAUGUGCGAUAGUUAUUCAUAGGGGAUUUUAACAAGGGGAUAUUAUAUACGUAAGCAUUGUGAAAUGUUUACGUAACAUAGGGGAUUUUAACAAGGGGAUAUUAUAUACGUACGAUAAGAUAAGAUAAUCAAUGUAUUUUCAUUUAGAUCCUUAACUAAAUUUAUUUGCAUUUAGAUCCUUACUCCUAUAUGUGCUCCUCCUCCGGUUCAUUUUCAUCGAGUCUCAAGCGUCGUUUUACAUGGUCAUGGCUUCUUCUUCUUCAUCUUAUCUCGCUGCGUUUCCUUGUUUGAAUCCUUCUUCGCCUCUCACUCCUUCAAGAUUCUCACAAACUCUAAAUUCUCCUUUCCUCUCUUCCCCUUGUUCUGUUUUGAACCUAAAACACGCAUCUUCGCUGCUUCUUAAAUCGAGGAUUCGAAUCUCCUCCUCUCGUCGUGCGCCGACAAAAACACUCGUUGUUUUGUCUGCCCAGACUAGUCUCCUGAAAGGUUUUGUCCCAAUUCUCUCUUUGCGAAUUUUAGUUGUGGUUUUGAUUGCUAAGUAACAAACGGCUCACUAAUCAUUAUUAGAACAAUGAUUGGAUUAAGCGUUUAAUUGUUUUGUGUAACGAGUUUACUAAUCAUUAUUAUUAGAACAAUUUUCGAAUUGAUUGUGUGCAGUUGAAAUGCUUAUAGCGCAUAAAUAAACCAAGUUUAUCUUCGUAGAUUGAUUAGUAAAAACUUGAUUGUUUGUACAUUUCUAGUUAGAGAUGCAUUGAGUCUCUGCUAAUGUUUGUAUAAAUAGUUCUUAGAACCGCAUGGAAUAUUGGGAAAGAUGGAAUCGAAGCAGGAACCAACCUAGUUCCUGUGAGCUCUCUCUUAGUCUUUUGUCUUUGACUGUUGUUGGAAUCUUAAAUGUUUUUUUUUUCUGUUAGUCACACAUUUCGUUGUCAAUUUGCUUGGAAGGUUUCUGUGCCUAGACCUGUUGCUAGGAUCUCAGUGACUAUUGCAGCAUUGGCGGUUUCAUUGUUUGUUCUCAAGUCCUUUCUAUCAACUGCUUUCUUUGUAUUGGUAUGUUUUUAACCCUCCCUCCCUUACUUUUUUUUUUAUAUAGCUGAUUUUUUUUUGUAUACUCUCUAUCUAAAGCCAGCCUCCAUUGAGUGUCUUUUUUUUCAGGGUACAAUGGGAUUUGCAUAUUUCUUAUUCAUAGCCUUGAACAAAGAUGAAGCUCCUAAACAGAGAGGUGGAGAAGAUAAUAUUUCUGGUUCCAAACCAAUGGAUUAUGAUCCACUUGAAGAAGCAAAGAAAAUUAUGGACAAGUACAAGUAAGGAGCUUAUCUGUUUUUUUUUUUCUCAUAUGAGAUCUCCAAUGUAUACGGAUAAAACACUUUGGCAAUGUUGGAUAUGUGGUUUGAUGUUAAAGAUAAAACUUGUAAUAGAGAGAUCAAGAGAAAAUUCACAAAACUAUAUAUAAAUCAAACUUCGAGAGUGAAAAUAGGCCUAUGUAGUCCAGUUGUUGCCCCACCGUGGAACAUCUUCUUGAACGCUCUCAAGCCGCCUUGUGAGUGCUUUCGGAUUCCGCCAAAUCUAAUGGUGGAUGCUAUGCUGCGAUGUAGAUUAGCCAAACUGUUUCCGAUCAUGACUUUCAAUCGGAAAAUCUUCAUACGUAGAAACAAUAACGACGGAGGAGAACGAUGAGAAAUCAAGUCGGCUUCUUGAAGCUUUUUGUAGAUCAAGAACUUGGCUCGCCGGUGAAGUAACUCUUCUGGGUCUUCCUUGUUCAUCUUUGAGUAAUCGCAUGGCCUUUUGAAAAGGGUCAUUUUCAUCCUUUCGUGUUUUUUUUUCUUCCGGCGAUGACUUUGUCCUGAGCGAAGAGGUAGAGAGAUAUCGGAUUGAGGAGAUGAGUUGAGCUGAGAAAGUAUUUAUAGUCAUUGCAUGAAACAGUGCUACUGCACUAAUUUGUAACUUGUAUACGUGGUUUUUCUUCAAAGUUAUAUGUCUUAUUAAAAUCUUUAUAAUAAUACAGUUUAUUUAUAAGUCAAAUCACUGUGGCAAUGAGAUAUGCUAAAAUAUUCAAAUAUAUACAAAGUCGUAUGAGCUUAUUUUAUAGUACUUAAUGAACAAUUAUAUACCUACAAACACAUGAACCGAUCGAAAAUGCAUAAUGUUAUUAUAUAUUUAACAUUAUACAGCAGAAGAAAAACUACUUUGGAAUAAAUAUUAAGAAGAUAGUAACGAAGCAUUCUAUUAAUAGAUAAUAUCAAUGCGACCAAACAUGCAUACAAAAGCAUAACAUAUAACAAACCCGACGUGACCGCUCCAGUUCGAAUCUAUCCAUCAGUCCCUUGAUAUGAUCUGAGCUUUGAGCGAAUUCUUCAUCACAACGGUAAACGCGUAAGUUUCUGUCGGGUCGGGUGGAGAAUCCGGAACAGAGAUCCAUUUAAACGAAUGGAUCAUCCUAGCAAGCAUCAAGUUGAUGUGGAGAAUCCCUAACGACCAAGCCGGGCAGAUCCGACGACCCGCACCAAAAGGCAACAUUGUCACGCCACGUGUUCCGGUCCAAUCAGCAUUAACACCGUCUCCAGCUGGUAAAAACCUCUCCGGUCGAAACUCACCCGGAUCCGACCAAAUCUCCGGGUUCUCAGUAACCCAAGCAGUGUAAAAUUCCACAUAUGCCCCUGACGGAAUAUCAUACCCGCCAAGCUCCGUAUCUUUCACGGCGGCGUGAGAGAGGAGAAAAUGUCCUGGGGGAUGUCUCCUGAGAGUCUCUUUCACUAUUGCUUCCAAGUAAGGCAUUUUCGCCACGUCAUCCUCUUCAACGACGCCGUUUUUGCCCACAACUCCGACAACUUCCUCGUACAGCUUCUCUUGUAUGUUUUGGUCCGUCGCUAGAUGAAGUAACGCCCACUCAAGCGUAGUAGCGCUAGUGUCCGUACCCGCCGAGACAAUCUCCGAACAUAGAGUCACAAUCUCUUCAUCUUUAAGCUCACCGCCUCUCUCGACAGGCUUCAAAGCAAACAGAGAAUCCACGUAAGCUGCACCGAUAGGACUCACCAUCUCUUCGUUGGGACUCUCUUUUGCCUCAACAAAUGCACGACGGUUUUUAAUCAAUGGCACGAGACUUUCGAGCUGCGUCUUCCUUAGCUCUCUCGCUUCUCUAACUUGACGGCGAAACAACGGAGUUAAAACCGGUAAAAAGUCAGGUAACGUCGGAGAAGUUAUAAGCAUGACGUCCUUAAGAACGUUCUCUAUGUUCUUGAUCUUCUCCUCGCUGAUCUUGGCUCCGAAGCAAAGACAUAUCAAGAUGCUACAAAUCGUUAGCCUACAUUGACUCAUAACUUCGACGUAACCUCUCUCAAAACUCUCCUUUUGAAUCCUCUUCAUGUGAUUCUCCAUAGCCCACGUCCUUAUCCACGAGCAUUGCUUCACUCUCGUCGGGUUUACGAGCUCCGUCACAAAGUUCCUCCUAAGAAUCCGCCACAAAGAUCCGUACUCAGCCGAGUUUAUAGCGCAUUUUCCGACACUAAACAUGAGCCGGAUAGGCGAGUCUGGAGGCCUGGAAGCGAAAGUGGGGCCACGUUGGACUAGAGCCUCGUGGAUGAGUUUUUCGUCCGUGACGAUAAUCAUUGUACGUUGUCCCAUUUGCAUGGUGAAUAUUGGACCGUACUUUUUACGUAGGUCGCGCAUUAGGAAGACGAAAUGGCGACGUUGGGAUAUGACUUGGAUCGGUUUCCGACUAGUGGCCAUCCUUUUGGUCCUGGCGGGAUGUUGAGGCGGCAUUGGCUGCUUCUGCCGGAGGAGUAACGGCGCCACCAUAGGUUGAGGAAAUAGAGAGCAAACAAGAAUAUGAAAACAUCAGUAAGAUCCAUAUUUGUUUACUUACUAUUUAAAAGAUAUAGAGAGAGAUGGGAGAUGAAUGAAGAAGACUUAUAGAUGGAGUUUAGAGCAGUCUUAUGGUGAAUGGAGAUUUAGGAUUCUUUAUAUAGAGAAAGCAUACAUUCUAUGUGUGAUGAACAGAUCAGCCACAUGAACACAACGAGUAAUUGGUCUCACCAACUAUCUGUGUGCAUUUACUUCAUACUGUACAUAAGUGAUAUAUGAUGGUUCAAAUUUGAAAUUAUGUUUUAGCCUAACAAAUGAUUAGUUAUUAGUAGGAGUGUAUGACAGUAUUAUUAAUCUAAUCAAGUUAUGUUUUAUAUAAUAACAGAUAUACAUGUUCAUAUAGGGGACAUACUGGUCCUCAAAUUUUUCUUCGGCAACAUUAAUUAGCAAGAAGGAUUAAUAGUAUUAUAUUAUUUGCAAGCCUCCAUCGUGUUGAUAUAGAAUCCUGUUAUUAUUAGUUUCAACUUUCAACAAAUGUCGACAAAUGACAAAUAUAUAGUUGGAACGCUAUUUCAAUGUACGUAAAAUCUAUAUGCAUAUGAGUUGGUCCUUGUGUUAGAAGACAAUGGUCUCUGGGUCUUGAUUACCCUCUGUAGAAUUAACAGAGACAGGUGGAAGUUAGUUGGCCAAGUGUUAAUGUCAUUAAUGGGUCAAUAUUCGUAUCUAUAUUUAUUUUAUUUUCAUUUUCAUUAUGUACUUUUCAUCUCAUUUCUCAAAGCUAUAGCUAGCCUACAUAUCAAAAUUAAUGUUUGUAAUCCGUAGGUACAUGGCACUGUGUACGUUUCCAAAAUUAUCAAUUAUUCACCCCGGGGAAAUUCACCUACUUAUAUUGUUGAACGAAGACGACAUUCAAUACAUAUAUUUUAAAAAUUAAUGGUGAUAUAGCUAGAAUUGUGGCAACAGUACACAUUUUCGUUGAAAUGUUAAUGUCUAUGACCGUAUUGUUUGCCAUCAUAUGCAUAGGCCUCGCAAGAACAAUCCGCCUGACAGGUCGUGGCACAUGUAGUACUGUAGUAGUAGUAACAAAACUUGUUGUUGGACCAGUGGCUAAUUUCAUGUUCUGAAAAGAAAGAAACUCUUUAUUUUUCAGGUCACACUGAAGCUUGGCGUUGGUUACACAAGUAACACAACGACCAACUAAAUCAUUCGAGUCCGUUCUGUAGGGAACAGCACAUUUUCAGGAGAAGACUUCUGGCGAAUUCUCGUUGCAGAUUCCAAACGACCCACAGUAACCUUAACCAUCACAUCUCUCCUUGGGUGCAUCCCAUGGCAAAUACCACAUCACCAUUUUGUCCAGCAUAUUGUACUGCCUGAACUGCCCCGAAGCAUCCAUAACCAAACGAAAUGCUUCAGUCACGUACUGAAUAUGCGAUAUAAGACUCAUGUACAUUCAUUUCGAAGGUCCAGUUACUCGUACGUGCCUAUAACUUCACUGAACGCUCCAAGUCGGUCACCCACUUGACCAAUAUGACUUGGAGCCAUUCCAAACCAUGAUGUGAGAGUGAGGGUCAACCCUGAGUGAGUAUUGACCAGGUGAUUGAUCUUCUGCCCUGUUCCUAGAAGUGAGACCUUGGCUUUCCAAUGUGCUAUUGUUAAACCAGAUUUUAGCGCCAGGAAGCCAAGUAUCUGAGGGAUGAUCAAAACUGGGCCACAACACGGCGGCAGAUGAACUGGAACCAUCUCUCAGGACUAGAUUACCGUUAUCAUGUAGAACCGCUUGAACAUUGGCGUUAUUGUCGGUAGAAUUUAGACCGGUGGACCAAACACUAUUCUAUAAUCGAAACUAUUAUGAAGAAGUAAGUUUCCGUUCAAGAUUUUUAAGGAGAUUCAAACCGUGUAUAGAGCAGGAGAUUGUGGAUUUGCCACCCAAACUAUAGUUCGUGGAGAGAACUGUUUAUACCACAUGCCUCUAUAGUGGUAAUAAGAAGUACCUGGUCUGAAAAGGCCGAGUUCAGAAAACAUCACCCUCAAAUACAAUGGUCUGGUCUCCUGAAAGAGAUUCACUGAUGGAGAUUGUGUCAACUGCAGAGGAAACAUGUGAAACUUGGAGAGACCAAAAUAUUACAAAAAAUCUGUAGGAAGAUAUGAAGAACACAUUCUCUUUGAAGGUGGCCAUGUUCGUGUGGAACACAGAAAGAAUUGUGGUGAUUACACAAUGAAAGAAGUGAUGAUCCACGAGUCAACUCAGUCAAACAUGUUGAAAAGUAUGAACAAUAAUUAAAGCCGAAGACUUUCUGUAGAUAAAGAUUGAAGGAAGCCAAAUUACUCUAUCUCAAUAUUUUAUUUUAUUUUAUAAUUUUAUAAAGUCUCUUUCUUCUCUUAUCUUAUCAGAGAAUCAAAGGUUAAUCGAACGAACGUCUUUAUCACAUAGAGAGAUUUAUUUUAUUUUAUUAGUAACAACAGAUUUUAAUACUUAAAGAUUCUAAUUGACGAUAAUUGAUAAAUAUCAAGAAGCCUUACACUAGGUAACUGGUAGGUUGAAAUAAUAGAUAGUAUUUAUAUUUCAUUCAUAGUGAUGGUUGUGAUUGCUUCCAUUCGAUUGCAAGUAUAAUGUGGCAUCUCGGUGAAUCAACAAAGAGAAGAAGGCAUGCCUCGUUGAAUGAGAGUGUCUAGAUCUUUGUCACCACGGCCACUGCAAUUCACGACCACUUUGGCACCAUCGCGCAGAGUAGGAACAAGUUUGUCGAGGAACGCCAGCGCGUGAGAUGCUUCUAAAGCUGGGAUUAUUCCCUCCAAUCUGCUCAAUAACAUGCACGCUAUAAUAGAAGAUUAUGUAAGUAAUUAAUGAAAUUCUGGUAAGAAUUACAAAGAGAAAAAAAAAAGAAUUACAAAGAGAGCAUAUUAGUAAGUAACAUAAAUAGAGAGGGACCUUGAACGGCUUCUUGGUCUGUUGCUGUGUAGAACUCGGCUCUUCCGCUUUCUUUCAGAAAGCUAAUCUCUGGUCCAACUCCGGGAUACUCUAAUCUGCGACCAAUCAAGCAUAUGUGAGGCUUAGUAUGUAACAUCUUCUCUUUGGUUCACAUAAUUAAUUUGGUUAUCCAACCGUAUAUAAACUUAGUUUGGAGAUUUUGAUGCGGCCAGGCAAAAAAAGGGUUCAAUCAGACCGGUUCAUAACCGCUUACGAGAGGUGACUUGCAUGUGAUAAACGUGUAAACCUUUUUAACGAUAAACAGACGUACAAGUAACGUUAAACAUGCAAAAGUACAAAUACAAGUAGAAGAUUUCUUAUUUGCUAUUCAUGUCAUGCUUUGACUAUAUAUUAAUUUAUCUAUUUAAAAGAAAAUCAAGAACUAUAAUAUACCAGACUUAUUUAUUUAGUUUCAUCUUUCUUAAAAGACUAAUUUAUAUACCUAGACAUAUUUAUCUAAUUUAGUUCAUAUUUUUUAAGAGAUUUUUAAAGACUUUCAUCAUCACUAAAUAGUGGCUAUUAACUCCAGGAUUAUAGUUUGAGCAGCUGUUUAAGACAACAUAUAGGACAUAAUUUAACCACUUACCCUACUCCUAUGGAAUGUGGUUUAAGUAUCUGUCCUUGAUCAUCUUGCAAUAAGUAGCUCAUGGAGCCAUGAUACACACCAACAUCUCCAACGGCCAAAGUAGCUGAAUGUUUCCCUGAAUCCAGACCCAGUCCCGCGGCCUCUACCCCGACUAGUCGCACAUCCUCAUCCCCAAGAAACUCAUGGAACAGUCCCAAUGCGUUUGAGCCACUCCCCACACAAGCCACCAACACAUCAGGUUUACCACCCCAUAGUUGUUUUGCUUGUCUUCUUGUCUCUUUCCCAAUCACGGAUUGAAACUCGCGUACCAUUAACGGACUUGGAUGGGGUCCUACCACCGUCCCGGAUAAGUAGUAUGUGGUUUCUAGGUUUCCAACCCAAUUUCGAAUAGCCUCUGAACUUGCAUCUUUAAAUGUUCCUUCAACUGAUUUCACCUAUUAAAAUCAGGAUAAAUUAAUUUUAUGUUCAGUUUGACCCCAAAAAAUUAGUUAUGUGUUCCGCAUAUGUGAAUAUUUUGUUGUUUUGAGAGAUUUAUUUGAAAUAAAAAUCAUUGUUUUAGAAAUCAAAGAAAAAUAGUGUUAGUUUAGAUUUUUUCAGCGAUUUUUGCAUACACAAUUUUAUUGUUAAUUAUCGAUAUUAAUUUCUUGCUCGAUUAUGUAUAAGAUCAUAUUUAGAAAGGGAAUGGACCUUCACUUUCUUCAUGAGCUUAUCAAAUAUUUUUUAAUGUAUAUAUAUAUAUAUGUUAAACAAACUUUUUUUUGAUCAAACUAAACUUGCAUCAAGCUUAUGUUAUCCUCAUGUUAUGUUUGUUUGGUUGGCUGUCAAUAGUCUCUUUAUAUCCUUCUUUAUUCGAGUGUAAACAUAUGUUAAACAAACUAUAAUAUUUUUUACCAAAAAAAAACUAUAAUGUUUUUUUUUGAAAUGACUCUAAUGUUUUUUUUUUUCUGGAUAAAUAAACCUAGUUCCUGUUGCAAGACCGGCUCCGGUUUCGGCUAGGUUAUGAGUUUAACUAUAGAGUAAUUACUAGUUAUACCUGAGCACCAAGCAGUUUCAUGGAAAGUACAUUAGAGGAUUGUUUCUCUAUAUCAGUGGUUCCCAUGAAAACAGUACAUUCCAUGGAAAGCUUCGCACAAGCAGCCGCCGUGGCAACCCCAUGUUGACCGGCUCCUGUUGCUGCCACCACACGCUUGCAACCAAGCCGCCGGGCAAUCAUCGCUUGACCGAGAGCAUUGUUGAUUUUAUGGGACCCACAGUGGCUAAGAUCUUCCCUUUUCAGGUAUAUUUCGGGUCCACCUCCGGUGGUUUGAGAUAUGUUCUUGUAGUGUUCGGUUAAACGUCCGGCGAAGUAGAGAGGCGUUUCUCUUCCUACGUAGUCUCUUAACGCUGUGGUAAGCUCCUCCUAAUUACAAUUAAAAGCACACAUAAGAAAACAUUGCACUGAUUAAUUAUCAUGCUUAAUACAUGUGAAAUUUACAUGCUAAAUGAUGACGUCAUUAAGUUAUUUUCUUACAUGUGACACUAUGUUGCCUUUUUAUUAAUGAGAUUAUUGAAGGAGUUUCUCAAAUUCUGAGAUAUUAAAAGUAUUAUUUUAUAAAUAUUUUAUUUUGUAAUUUUUUGAAAUUUUUUGUGAGAGACACCAUUGGUGCCUUAUGUGAAAAGUAGGUAAUGUGUCGGGAUGUAUGUUAUUUUUAUUGUUUGAGAAGGACAAUACUAAGUAGUCUCAACUGUUAUGUUUCCAGUCCUCUUGUCUUUUUGGAUAAUGCCAGCUGAUUUCGAAUCUAUAAACCAUAUAUUUGUUCUAUGAUUAUGUUUUCCGGUGUUGACAAAAAAUGUCUACAAAAAAGAUCUGUCUUUAGGUUAUGUAAAUUAAUCUAUUAUCUUCAUAACCUAAAGGUCAAAUUAUCAAUGUUUGUUCUCAUUCCUUUGAUCCAUUAAUUUCUUUAUAAAAAAAUGCUUAUUUCAUAAAGACAAAUAUUAAUUUGUUUAGAUUUGAAAUGUGCAGUUUAUUUGUAAAAUAUAUGAAUUUGAUAGUUGACAAUAAAAUCUCUUUUCCAAUAUUCAUACGAUCAACAGCAUGGAAUACGAGUUGUAAAAUUUUCCUGUCGAUUACAGUGACCUAAUUGGUUACAUUAUGUAGAGCAAAGUGAUGAAUUAGCCAUUAAGCCUUGCAAAACCAUGAUAUUUAAUGAAAUAGAGGUGGUGAGUUACGUUAAUGUGAUAUAAAUAUAUGAUUGGUUUGAGAUAAGCUUAAUCAAUAUAUGAGAAAGGCCAACCUGAAAUUCAUGAUCGUUCAAAACAAAAUCAAAUUCAUCUUCGAGAUCUCUCAGGGGAGACAUCAAUGUCUCCGGUACAAACUUUCCACCGAACCUCCCGAAUCUACCGUUACCAUCGCCACGAAGAAAUUGGCUCUCGUCUGUUCUUGUUGGGACAGAACCCAACGGUGGAUCACUCGUACGGAGUACAUUGCUUACACGGUGUUGUCUUUUGAUGGGAACUCCACAAACAACAGAGUUUAUCAUACGGUGGUUUCUUGUCAGAACCUUAAAAAGGGGUUGCCCUCGUAUUUGGAUUUUGGUCGACGACAUGUUUCUCUCUCUCUUUUUGUGUGGAAGUACUGAUGUUUUAUUAUAUUAGUGACUUUUCUUAAACAUUUGUGUUGACGAGUACCUUUUUUUAUAGUGAGUAGAGGGGUAUAUGUUUUUUGUUAUGCAUCAUCCAUUGUGAUUUACAUGUUUAACAUGUUGUUAAUCUUUACCACUCUCUCCCAUGAUUUUGAAAAACAACGUUGUCAAAGUGAAAAAAAGUGAUUUCGAAUGAAUUAACUUUACGAAAAUUAGUAUACCAUGAAGGCCCGCAUUCUCAGCGAUAUGAUACAUUUCUACUAAGAGAGAAAUUUAUUUUAGGUUUCCUAAUCGAAUCAGGGUUAUUUAUAACUUUUAUGAAAAGAUCCAAAGGUUUAUUAACAAGUUUUAAUAAAAGAUACAGCACUUUCAUAUUGACAAAAUAUUUGUUUUAUAACGGGACAAGUACAUGUUAGUUUUAUCCAUGCUGUUUAUUAUUAUUCGCUUUUUGUAUAUAUGAAUGUUAAGAAAUAUAUAUUCGUUUUACCUGGUAGGUAUCCGAAAUCUGUAUACGAGUCGUAAUUAUAUAACUAGAUUUGCGCGGAUGUUUGUUUUUAUUUUUCUAUAUAUAAAUUAUUGUUUUAGAACAUAAGUGGUAUAUAUUUUUAACAUUAAUCAUACAUUUAAAUGUUUAUAUAACUAUUUCAAAUACAAUACUUUAUAAUUUAUAUGUUAUAAUUAGUAUAUUCAUGAGAAAAUAUAUUUGAAAAAUAUUUUGUAUUUAAUUUAUGCUAAAUUUUGACCCGUCUUUCAAAGUUGCAUUUCUUUUUACUAAUAUUUUUAUGUUUAUUCAUUUUAGAUAAUAUAUUAUUGUAUAUAAAAAAAGUCAAAGAUAUGUUAAUUUUUAGACAUGUAUUAUAUAGUUUGCUAAUUUUAAGCCGUUAUAUCAUCAUCUUAUAUUUUUAAAAUAAAUAAUUUAUAUUUUUAAAAUAAAUAAUUAUAUUUAUAAAAAUAAAAUUUAUAAAUUUAUCAGUUGAAUAUACUUUUAUCAUAUUUAUUUAAGUGUAAUAAUUGUAUUUUAACAUGAUCAUGCCUAUAAAAUAGAUAAAAUGGGAUAUAAUUUAUUUAUUUUUCAUUUUAUAAACGAUAUAUUUAAAAUGAAAAUAUGUAAUGAUUAAAGUAGUUACAAAGAUUUUAUAUUAUUAGCUUUAAAGAAAUACAUGUUAAUUUUUUACAUAUAUUAUAUAGUUUGCUAAUGUUAACACAUCUUACCAACGUAUUAGAUUUUAUUUUUAAACAUAAAUAUUUUAUACUUACAAAAAUAAAAUACAUAAAUUUAUAAAUUUCAUACAGUUUUAUUAUAUUUAGCUCAAUAUAAUAAUUUCUUUUAAUAUGAUUGAUUAUGAUUAUAUAAUAGAUAAAAUAUUAUAGAAUUUUUUAUUUUUCAUUUUAUAAACGAUAACUGAAUAUAUUAAUGUAUAAUAAUAUUUCAAACUAAUUUCGAAAUUAGUGAAAAUAUUGAAAUAUAAUUUUGAAAAUAAAGAUCAUGUAAAAAACUUUUAAAACAAAUUUGUUAGUAUUUUAAAAUAAAUAUAUUUAUAUUCAAAAUGAAAAUAAAAAGAUAUCAAAAGAUACUUUUAUAAAAGUAUUUUAAAGAUUCUAUGUAUUAUUAAUCUUAAUAAAAUACAUUUAAUAGGAUUUCUAACUGAUGCUUCAAAUUAAAAAAAAUCACAUAUAAAAGGGACUAAAUUCAAAGCUUUUGAGACUAUCCACAUCAGCCAAAAUAUUCUCAUCCAAAAAGAAUUAAAAAUAAAUGUCAUUUAGAAAAUAAUUAACUAACAUACAACUUUUGAUAUUUCUAGAAAUUUUAAAUUUGUAACUGCUAAUUUAUUAAUAGAAUCAUAUAUCUAUAUUGAAUUAUGUUCUAUUUUUAACCGUUAGACUUCAAGGGUAAAUAAAUUAUUAAUUUAUAAUAUAUAUAGUUUAUAACUUUAUAUUGUAAUUAUAAAUAAAGAGAAAAUAAUCGGGAAGGGUGGAGAAGCUCAUGUAAAAUUAUGUAAUUAAAAUGGUAAAAUGGUGAGUAUGAUGAGGUGAAUCUAAGAAAAUUUGUUGUACAAAUUAUGGUGCUUUCUUCGUCCACUAUAAUGAUUUAAAAUAAAAUAUAUAUUCACAUAAAUAAGUCAAUAUUUGUUGUUUUUUUUUUUGGUAAGAUAUUAAGAUUAUCAUUUUCUGAAAGGUUACACUGUUGUUUUUAAACAACUUAUUACAGUAAGGAAACAAAAACAACCAACAACAACUCAAAGUAAAAAAAGCCUUAAAGAGAUCUUAUACAAGAAAUAUAAAAAAGAAGUAGAGAAGAGGAGAAAGAAGAACUUGCCGGGUAAGAGAGGAGACGGUCACGCAUCAUGGAGGAGAAAUCCAAACUUCAGCAGCAAAAGGCUCCCAUAUCAAGCGAGAGAAAGAGCACUCAAAGAAGAGAUGAUGGUGAGUCUCUAUUUCCAGAUUACAAAAGACACACGUUCCUGAGACAUUUAAUCCCCAACGCCUCAAGCGAUCUUGGUUGGCAGUCUUCUCCGCAAAGCCAGCCAUGAUAUAAACGCAUUACGUGGAAUAUGUUCCUUGAACCAAAUAGUCUUGUGCCAAUAUUUAUUGUUGAUAGUGUUUAUAUUUUUUUCUGACAUUAGUAUCCAUAUUUUUUGGUAAACUGAUCCAAGAGAUUAGUUUGUGGCGCUAACCAAACGAGGAUUAUAGUGUUUACUUUGGAAAAAGUAAUAGGUUGAAUGAUAGAUGGCGUGCGUGCCUUUUCACAUGGAAAUCUGCACAUAUAUUAAAAUUGUAAGUUUUGAAUCAUAGAGAAAAUAUAGUGUAUAUGACUGAAGUUGGUCCAUUCCGAAACUAAAGAUGGCUAAAAUUCUUCUUUGUCAAAAUGUAUAGAUGUGAAUCUUAUAUGAAUAGAGUUCUUCAUUGCUUAUAGCAGUGUAAUAAACUCCGUGUGUAAAGGAGAAAAAAUGUUAUAUAAGUGAAAACAAAAAUUAUGAUUUUUUUUUCUUGUGCCUAUAGGCUCUUCGAAAUUUGAAGAAGAAAGAACAUAUUGUGUGAAAAUCUUUGGCUCGGUCAAAUUUUAUCCAGUUGUUUAUAAAACUGUUGUUAUUUGAUUCAUGUAAUUUUUCAGUGUUGAUUUAAAAACCCAAAAACCCCAUCUAUACUGACUUUUUGAUAUUUUUUCUGUGAUUUGAAUUUAAAAAGAGAUAAAACUUUCGAUAAAUUAUGUAAACUCAUAACAAGUAUUUAGUUUUAAAAAGCAUUUACAUGUUUCAAACUUAUAAUAUAUACAUAUAUAAUGUUUAAAAUUAUGCAUAUAAAACCUGUGUAAAAUGUGUGAAUAUGUUUCUCUUCUUUAAUGUGUUAAUCAUACUAUAUAUAACAUUAUUUUAAAAUUUCAAAAAGUUUAUGUCAUUGUCACAUACAAAAAACCAAAAAUAUAAUUCUCCAUCUACGACAAGAAAAAUGAAAAAUUAUAAACAUAUAAAUUUAAAUUAAGAAAAACUAACAUUGGAAAAACAAGAAAUUAAUAUAAAAGAAAAAACUGACAAAUAAUAUUAUAAAUAAAAUAAAUUUAUAAGAUGCAAUCCGCGCGAAGCGCGGAAAAAAUCUCUAGUCACAUAUAAAAGAAGUCAUAACUUUUAUUUUAAUAUAUAAGAUUUAUAUGCCUUCUAUUGUAAGACGUAAACGUAAAAGCAAAAAAACAUACGUAAACACCCUUUCACAAAAUAAAUGACAGUAACAAGCAGUUUCUCUUGUCGAGAUAUAAGAAAAAUAAGAGGUUGUAAAUGCAUGUUCACGAUGCCCCUCUAUAGUCUUCGAAGAUAAGAGUAGAUUUUUCUUGUUUUAUUUUGCACGUUUAAAUAAUGUUGCAUGUUGCUAGCGUAAAACCUGAGAUCUAAAAUUUUAAAAGAUAUCUACAGUACCAGGUUGUUUUCUGAUUAUUGUUUUGAGGGUGGGCUGCUUUCAUGUAAAAAUAUGUAUACUAACUUGAUAAAGAUGCCAGGUUAGUAUUAAAAAAACUUGACAAAGAUGCCACCAUGACAACUUUUUUCUUCUAACUAGCCAAUCCUUUUCCUAUUAAUACAUAAUAGAUGUGUUUUGCUAAUACAUAUUAGCUGUUUUUUGCUAAUACAUGUUGCAUAUAUGUACUUUGCUGAUACAUGUUAGAUGUUUUAAGAAACUUUCUUCAGUUCCUUCUAUAUUUCUAUCUAACUAACUGUUUUUUUUUUGUUCUUUGUCCCCCUUUUAUAAAUGUAUAAUCACCUUUUUUAUUAUACCUAAUAUAUGUUUUAUUAAUGAAACAAAGAGAAGCUAUAUCUCAAGAAUGACAAUAAUAAAGGUGAUUUUGUGAAAACAUAAAAAUGGACUGAUGAAUAAGUUAGAACAAAAUAGAGUAAAAUAAUUUAUUGUUGUUUUAGCAUAGUUAGAAUUUCGUGAACAAAAAUACUAAAUAGAGAAUGGAACCUAUAGAUCAUAGAAUUCAGUUGUAUUUAGAAUGGAACCAAGUUAUAUGCUCGGUUCCAAGCCUGGCCAGUUGAUGUAUUAGCCUUGGUCUAUAUUUUUUUGUCAUAAAACCUAAUAAUAACAGAAGCAAGGAAUUUGACCCAAAAAAAUAGAAGUAAGGAUAACAAUCUGCUCUUAUUCUUCAUCCCUGGUCAGUAAAUUUAUAGGUUUUGGCCCGAAAUUUUUUGUAAUAAAAAAAUUAUAGUGGAUUUCCAACAAGAAUUGAACCCGAAUAACGGAUUGCAUACUAAACACUCUUUUACUAUUCGAGCAGCACUUGUUAACUUGUGUCGCCUAGUGGUGAGUAAAACUUUCGGUUGACUCUUUCUAUUUUCUCACGCAAUUCACAUGUUCUUUGAAAGUUCAAAGUGUGACCGACAAAUUAAUCAUGAUAACUGCAGAAUUGUAUACACAGGUAUCAUAUUCAUAUAUAUCCUGACUAUUAGUUAAGAUCAUCCGAUCUUAAUUUUAAAGCUCCACAUAUCCUAUAUUCGAAAAUAUUUGAUAUUGGACUGGAUCUCGAAUCUCAUUUAUUUUGAGGUAUGCAGCCAUUUUUCUCGUUAAAACAUGGUAUUUAACAUAAAAAAGAAAGUUCUAUCCUUUCUACGUGUUCUCUAUUCCUCCGCAGCGACGAAUUUCAAAGCCCAUUUGAAAUAAAAUACAAUACAAAUACAAAUUUGUCAAAAAACCUAAUCUUAUAACAUAAAGAAGAAGACAACUCUCUUUUUAUGCUGCCAGCGCAACAAAUAAGGCGAGGAGCUCGCGACACCUGUCCCCUCUGAUCAAAACUCAUCGUUUCAUCUAUGUGAUGACUUAUACUCUGCGUUUCUUCUAGCGUCACGUGCCAGCCGCAAGAUAUUUAGGGUUUGGUAUUCCGCUUCAGUAAUUAACGAAGAGUCUUCUUCUUCAAUCUCUGAUAUAGCUAUGGAGUUUUGAUAUCUUCAAUCCACAUGAAGAAUCGUUUUUGAAUCUUCGACCUGGCCUUCUGUCUUCUCUUCAGAGGUAACCUUUCUCCUAAUUAAAUCAUCCCCUGUAUCAUGCUCUUUAACAUCACCCCUCUUCGAACAGAUCUGUUACUGAAUGCACCUUAUUCAUCUGCAAGGCGGUUUCUCUACUUCUAUAAAAGGUAUGCCUUUCUUUCCUUCCCCUUCUGAUCUUUUCCUUCUUCACGACUGUGACGUUUGUUUCUAGGGUUCAUCGCUUGAAUAUCUUAACUUCUGAGAUUUUGUACCUAUGAUAGAGAUUUAGUGUGUGUAUUAAUAUGUGCUCUCGCUUGAAUAUCUUAACUUCUGAGAUUUUGUACUUAUGGAUUCAGAUUUUUAGUUGUCUUGAUGUGUUAGAUAGAGCAGCAUUACGUGGCUCAAGGUUUGAGUAUUGUUGGCUACUUUCAUACGAACAAGAGGUUUGGCAAAGUGGAGCUCUCUGGUGUCGCUAAUAAUAUCGGUGAUCACAUCUCUCUCUAUUUCCCUCAUGCGCCAAUCCCCUAGGCAAAGCUCUUACAUUCUGCUUUCACAUCAUAUAUAUAGAUUAGUGCAAGCAUUUUUUGGGUUCUGGUGGUGUUAUUUAGACAUCAUAAUUUCUACCAUAGCCUCUUAAAAGGGCAAGGAAACCUCGCUAAUGACGCUGAGAAGUUAAUAUCUUCAUCACAGCAAGAGGUCUCUAUCUUAUCCCACUCACAAGUAAAAUUAUCUAACACCGAUUGAUCUAACUCUUUCUUUGAAAGUAUUGGGUAAGAAGCUGCUGUAAAGAACAACUAUGGAGGGCUCAUGCCAAAGAACCUCCUCUGAUUUCCAAGGUCGGUUCAUUUAUCUACAUCUAAAGAGUUUUUUUUUGUGUUUCUGUGGUGUGUUGUUUUAUAUAAGGAUUAUGAGCAACCAUACUUUGAUUCAGCUGACUGGGCUCUUUGAAAGGUAGCAAAUGUUCAAACUUUGAUCCAACGAGUGUUGUUUUCAUUCAGAUGAUCAAAUAUAACUCUCAAUAAUGUUUCUAUUCUCAUGGUGUUAUGAUAACAGUAAGCAAAACAGAUGGAGGAGGUGGCAAAAUUGAUCAACGGGAAGGAGAUUGACUUUGAGGAGUUAAAACCCAAGCCAGUGUUUUAAAGGAAACGUUUCGUGACAACAUUUAACAGCCUUUUUGUUUGAAUCCUAUGUUCUAAACGUAAUCUGCGACGUUGAUUCUUUCUAGCCAAGAGCUAUUCUCUCUCAUUAUUUGUCGCUGCAGGCUAUCUUUGUCAUCAAAUAUAGUUUUAUCUGGCCUCUGCAAUGAUAAAAAUUAUUGAUAGGCAGUCUCUCUCUCGACCAUAAGAUUAAUUUAAAUUUCACUGAAACAUAUAUUAUCAUCGAAAUCCGGCGCGUAGCGCCGGGCUCCCCUAGUUACCUAUAUUGUAUGAUUGUAUCACUAUAUUGAUGAUUUGACAAAAACCUAAUUACCUACAUUACCAAGUAGUACACGUACGCCUAAUUGUCGCUCAUCAUUUGUCCUUUUAUUUUUCAGAAUAGAGAGGAAGCUAAAAGCAAAUCCAUCUUUAGUUCAUUUCUAACGUUCUACUAAUACUAUUAAAAAAGUGGUCUAAGCAUGUCAACUAGGAUUUAAAUGUUGGUUUACAUUAGGAAAAUUAAAUCAAAUAAGCAAACAAAAUUUAAAGAUCAAUAACUAACGAAAAAUUUAAAUCUUUACAGAACAACAUAGAAUUCCAUAGUACCUUUUUAAUUAUUUAAAAUAAUGCAUAUGUAAUUGACUUCACUUAUCCUUUUCAAUAUUGUGUUUACUUUUGUUUUAAUUUCAAAUUAUUGCAUAUGCCUUUAUUUUUUAUACGUCAUAGUUUUAAAAAAAAUUAAACAGCUAUAUGUUAUUAAAAUAUAUUAGUAAGUCUAAAUAAAUAUUUUUCAAUUUAUUUUAUUUUUUAAAAUAAAAUGCUAGUGUGUUCUAAAUAGAAUGCUAGUACGAUCCUUACUACGUACAAUUUGAAGAUGUUUCUCAAAUUAUUUUUCUUGGGGAGGGAUUUUUGAAUUACAGUUAUCAUGAUGCAACUUCCUACUUCGGCGUUUAGGAGAUAAACCCAAAUUUACAAUCUGCCACAUAUAAGGACAGAUAACAUGCUAAACUCAAAAUCUUGUUUUUUCUAGUGGUAAAGAUGUUUUUCUUUUGAAGAAAAGAGAUAUACGUUUAUUAGUGGUAAAGGUAUUAAAUAUUUUUCUCUAUGCAAUGACCAUAUCCGGACACAACCCGCUUGGCAUGCACCUUCACAAAUCUGUUGUGUUGCUCUAGUCACUUUCAUGCAGGCCCGGCCCAUAGCAUAUGCAACAUAAGCAAUGGAUUAGAGCUCAAAAAUGUUACGAGUUUUUUUUAGCCUGGAAAAAAUAACUCUGAAUGUAUAUUAGAUUUUUUUUAAUAUACAAUAGACGAAGGCACAGUUUUUAGAAAGAUUGAGUAGGGCCUUGAACUUGUUUGGGCUGUUGCUGCUUUCAUGCAUAUCCUAAUAGUGCUUCUUUUCCAGCCACAAUCCUAAUAGUGCUUCUUUUCUAGCCACAAUCUCUGUGACUGUCCCUGACAGAACCGUAAUUAUCAUCAAACUCAUGGUGGCCAAGCUUCUGCUCCGGCUCUUCAUUUUUUGCUUCGUACGUGAAAAUAAUUGAUCAGAGUAAUAUUAAGGGAGAAAUGGUUUCUUGGAGGACAAGGAAAGGAUAUUGAACAGAAGGGGAUUGUAAAGAUUCAAAGGUAAUCUGGCCUUAUAUGUGUUCGGUUUUCCGUUAAUAUUAACUAUUUCAAAAAUAGGGAAUUGUCUUCUACUCGGUUUUACUUGUAACAUGGAGACAGUCACAUAUUGUCUUUUCAAUCAACAAUAUGUCAUUUUGUUUGAGUGCUCUUUCAGUUACCAAAUCUGGCAGGUGAUGGUGAUGGCGGCUCGAUCUGGCUUGCAGGCAAGGCCGCAGUGGGAAGAAACUGUGAAUCAACUACUGUCUCUCACGGGGAAUAGGAAUAGAAGAAGACUGAUGCUCCUAGCUUGGCAAUCAACGAUCUACUCUAUCUGGAGGGAAAGGAACCUGCGCAUCAACCAGCAUGUAUUCCGCUCGACAGAUACUAUCAUCACCUUCUUGGACAGGCAGAUCAGGAACCAAAUUCAGAGCUUCAGGGAGUCUAGACCUCGUCAAGUUUCUCUCCUGAUGCAACUAUGGUUCUCGACAGGCUGAUCACCAACUCUCCCUUCCUCUCUCGAUGGCUUCAUGACUUACGGUCUUUCCAAAGAAGACUCACCAACCAUCCUAGCAGGCUCUCCUCUUGGGCUAUGUUGGGCCUUACUAGUUCUUUAAUAUGUGUGUUCUCCUUAUCUAAAUACACUGGGCAUGUCUCAUAAAACACUAAAGCUGAGGGGCUUGUAUAUUUUUAUUUUUUCUCUGUUUUAAUAUGAAAGUCGUUUACAAAAAAAAAAAAUGUCAUUUUGUUUUAUUACUCGAUAUGAAUAUUGACUUUCGUUGCAUUGUGGACUAAUAUUAUUAGUCGGAUUUAUUAUUGAUUUAUCCAUAGUGUUGGUUGCAAAUGCAUCUAUAGGAGUUAUACAAGAGUCAAGUGUAAUGUGACAUGCCUCUUUGGAUAAGAGUGUCUAUAUCUUUGUCGCCACGGCCACUGCAAUUCACGAUCACUUUGGCACCAUCAUGCAGAAUAGGAACAAGUUUGUCUAGGAAUGCGAGCGCGUGAGAUGCUUCCAAUGCUGGGAUUAUACCCUCCAAUCUGCUCAAUAGCAUGCACGCUACAAUAGACGAGAUAGAAGAUUGUUAGAAGUGAAUGAAAAAUCUUGUUAGAAUUAUAGAAAUAGAAAAGAUUGUUUCGAGUAGUAAGUAACGUUAAUACCUUGAAUGGCUUCUUUAUCUGUUGCUGUAUAGAAUUCGACUCUCCCGGUUUCUUUCAAAAAGCUAAUCUCCGGUCCGACUCCGGGAUACUCUAACCCACGACCAAUCAAGCAUAUGUGAGGCUCCGAAUACUUUACAUAAAGACCCCUCUUUGAUUUACAAAUAUAAUUUGGUUAUCCAAGAUUAUAAUAAAAAUAUUGCUUAUCCAACCGUAGAUUAAAUUCAGUUUCGGAUUUUGAUCCGAACGGUUCAUAUCUAUCACGAUAGAUGACUUGUGUUAAAUGUGAACACCUUUUUAUGAUAAACAGACGUGCAAGGUUACUUUUUAACUUUCAUUUUCAGUAGUUGUGCUAAUUAACUCCAUAAUAAUAGUUUGAAUAACUCUUUAGAAAAACACACAUAAAUAUAUAUAUAUAUACAUAAUUUAACACUUACCCUACUCCAAUGGAGUGUGGUCUAAGUAUCUGUCCUUGAUCAUCUUGCAACAAGUAGCUCAUAGAACCAUGGUACACACCAACAUCUCCAACGGCCAAAGUAGCUGAAUGUUUCCCUGAAUCAAGCCCCAGUCCCGCGGCCUCGACCCCUACUAGCCGCACAUCCUCAUCCCCAACAAACUCAUGGAACAAUCCCAAUGCGUUUGAACCACUCCCCACACAAGCUACCAACACAUCAGGCUUACCACCCCAUAGUCGUUUUGCUUGCCUUCUCGUCUCUUUCCCGAUCACAGAUUGAAACUCACGUACCAUUACCGGACUCGGGUGUGGUCCUACGACCGUCCCUGAUAAGUAGUAUGUGGUUUCUAGGUUUUCAACCCAAUUUCGAAUCGCCUCUGAACUGGCAUCUUGAAAUGUUCCUUCUAAGGAUGAUACCUAUUAAAAUAUAAAAACGAAUUUUAUGUUCGUAGAUGAAUAUUUUAUUGUAUCAGGAGAUAUUAUUUGUAAUAAAAUCUUCAUUUCUGAAAAACUAUUUGUAAUAAAACUCUUCUUAAAAAUAAACAGGUAAUGUUAGUUUAUCUAGUUUACGGUGAUUCUUUGCAUAGUUUUUACUGUUAAUUACCAACAAUUUUUGUGCUAGAUUUUUACUUAACUUUUUUAAAUUUCCGGUACCUAUGUUUCAAGAUAUUUUUUAUCUCAGUAAUUGGUCUCUUGACGUUUUGUAUAUGCUAAAUACAUAAUGAAGUUCAUAAUAGAAAUUAGGAGUGGAUCCUGAUUCUCUUCAUCGGUCCAUGGGCAAAUAUAUGAGGGAUUUUUGCAAAAUUGACCUACAACUUAAAGUCAAACACAAAACUAACCUCCCUUUUUUUUGAAAAUUGGUUUUGCCCUAUUCACCCCACAAGUUCAUAUAAUUUACGAAAAUGCCAUCAAUUUUUUUUUUUUUUUUUUUUCGAAAAUGACAUUUUUACUCUCUCACCCUCAUCAUCUUCAAGUAAUUACAAGAUUGCCAUUGUCAUCAAUACCACAACCACCAUGAACAACCAAUUUGAAGCUCUUAAUGCUCCCAAAAUCGAUUUACCCUUCUUCUUUUUCCAUUCUUGUGAACUAAACACAACAUAUCUCUCACUUUCUCUCCACAAUGAGCUAAAAAAACCCAAGAUUUUGAUUCUAAAUUUUUUAUGGUUCAUAGAGUCAUAGAAGCUAACGAUUAUGGGUGGGUGACUUUCGUUUGUGAUUCUGUGUGCUUGGAGAAGCCUUAUGUAUGCUAAGGAACUUAUCUCACCAAUUUAAGGUAUGACAUCGAGUUUUUUUCCAGAUCUGUUCGUCAGACGACUUACUUGGGAAGUCGUCUAGCUGUAGACAACUUACCUGGAAGUCGUCUGGUCAACGCAGAGGUUAUUUUUGCAAUUGACUUUGAAAUCUGUAACCUGAGACGACUGAAAGUUAAGUCGUCUNNNNNNNNNNNNNNNNNNNNNNNNNNNNNNNNNNNNNNNNNNNNNNNNNNNNNNNNNNNNNNNNNNNNNNNNNNNNNNNNNNNNNNNNNNNNNNNNNNNNNNNNNNNNNNNNNNNNNNNNNNNNNNNNNNNNNNNNNNNNNNNNNNNNNNNNNNNNNNNNNNNNNNNNNNNNNNNNNNNNNNNNNNNNNNNNNNNNNNNNNNNNNNNNNNNNNNNNNNNNNNNNNNNNNNNNNNNNNNNNNNNNNNNNNNNNNNNNNNNNNNNNNNNNNNNNNNNNNNNNNNNNNNNNNNNNNNNNNNNNNNNNNNNNNNNNNNNNNNNNNNNNNNNNNNNNNNNNNNNNNNNNNNNNNNNNNNNNNNNNNNNNNNNNNNNNNNNNNNNNNNNNNNNNNNNNNNNNNNNNNNNNNNNNNNNNNNNNNNNNNNNNNNNNNNNNNNNNNNNNNNNNNNNNNNNNNNNNNNNNNNNNNNNNNNNNNNNNNNNNNNNNNNNNNNNNNNNNNNNNNNNNNNNNNNNNNNNNNNNNNNNNNNNNNNNNNNNNNNNNNNNNNNNNNNNNNNNNNNNNNNNNNNNNNNNNNNNNNNNNNNNNNNNNNNNNNNNNNNNNNNNNNNNNNNNNNNNNNNNNNNNNNNNNNNNNNNNNNNNNNNNNNNNNNNNNNNNNNNNNNNNNNNNNNNNNNNNNNNNNNNNNNNNNNNNNNNNNNNNNNNNNNNNNNNNNNNNNNNNNNNNNNNNNNNNNNNNNNNNNNNNNNNNNNNNNNNNNNNNNNNNNNNNNNNNNNNNNNNNNNNNNNNNNNNNNNNNNNNNNNNNNNNNNNNNNNNNNNNNNNNNNNNNNNNNNNNNNNNNNNNNNNNNNNNNNNNNNNNNNNNNNNNNNNNNNNNNNNNNNNNNNNNNNNNNNNNNNNNNNNNNNNNNNNNNNNNNNNNNNNNNNNNNNNNNNNNNNNNNNNNNNNNNNNNNNNNNNNNNNNNNNNNNNNNNNNNNNNNNNNNNNNNNNNNNNNNNNNNNNNNNNNNNNNNNNNNNNNNNNNNNNNNNNNNNNNNNNNNNNNNNNNNNNNNNNNNNNNNNNNNNNNNNNNNNNNNNNNNNNNNNNNNNNNNNNNNNNNNNNNNNNNNNNNNNNNNNNNNNNNNNNNNNNNNNNNNNNNNNNNNNNNNNNNNNNNNNNNNNNNNNNNNNNNNNNNNNNNNNNNNNNNNNNNNNNNNNNNNNNNNNNNNNNNNNNNNNNNNNNNNNNNNNNNNNNNNNNNNNNNNNNNNNNNNNNNNNNNNNNNNNNNNNNNNNNNNNNNNNNNNNNNNNNNNNNNNNNNNNNNNNNNNNNNNNNNNNNNNNNNNNNNNNNNNNNNNNNNNNNNNNNNNNNNNNNNNNNNNNNNNNNNNNNNNNNNNNNNNNNNNNNNNNNNNNNNNNNNNNNNNNNNNNNNNNNNNNNNNNNNNNNNNNNNNNNNNNNNNNNNNNNNNNNNNNNNNNNNNNNNNNNNNNNNNNNNNNNNNNNNNNNNNNNNNNNNNNNNNNNNNNNNNNNNNNNNNNNNNNNNNNNNNNNNNNNNNNNNNNNNNNNNNNNNNNNNNNNNNNNNNNNNNNNNNNNNNNNNNNNNNNNNNNNNNNNNNNNNNNNNNNNNNNNNNNNNNNNNNNNNNNNNNNNNNNNNNNNNNNNNNNNNNNNNNNNNNNNNNNNNNNNNNNNNNNNNNNNNNNNNNNNNNNNNNNNNNNNNAAAUAAACACAUAUAGGUGAAAACUAAUUUUUGAAAAAAACAUUUAAGUUUUCCAAAAUCUAACCCUACAAUACAUACAAUACUACAACAUAUGUUUGCUAAACUCCUAAACCAAAGUAUUUCAUGAUUCACUACUUCCACUCAUCUAUCUUCAAAACAAAUCAAUUUUAUCAUAUCUUAAUUUAUAUUAGUUAAAACUGUUUAUAAUUACUUGAUUUUUAUUUUUUACGCAUCAAAAUAUUUUUUUACAAGAUUUAUAAAUUAUUUUUAAAAUAAACUGGUACCAGACGACUUACACUUCAGUCGUCCAGACGACUUCCAACAUCUCAGACGACUCAGACGAUUUACUGGGGCUAUAUUCGUAAAAAUGGCUUCUGUUUUUUUGUUUGGUCACAAGGGGCUGAGCUGUAAUUUCACUAGGCUUUUAGGUUAGUUUUGCAUUUGAUUCAAGUUUGGGUAUAGGUUUGGGAUUAAAAUCAAGUUGUGGGUUAGUUUUGGCAAAAACCCCAAUAUAUGAAACCAAAAUGAAAAAAAAUAUAUAUAUUAUAAAAAACUAUAAGCCUUUGGUUUCCGGAUAAUAAUUAAGAAAAGUUUGUGGUGCAAAACUGGAUCAAGUUAGGUUCGGUUAGGUUAUGAGUCUAAUUAUAUAUAAUUACUAGUUUUACCUGAGCCCCAAGGAGUUUCAUGGAAAGGACAUUAGAGGAUUGUUUCUCUAUAUCAGUGGUUCCCAUGAAAACAGUACACUCCAAGCAGAGCUUUGCACAAGCAGCCGCGGUGGCGACCCCAUGUUGGCCGGCUCCUGUGGCCGCUACCACACGGCUGCAACCAAGCCGCCGGGCAAUCAUUGCUUGAGCGAGAGCAUUGUUCAUUUUGUGGGACCCACUAUGGCCUAGAUCUUCCCUUUUCAGGUAGAUCUCGGGUCCAUCUCCAGUGGUUCGAGACUUCGAGAUUUGUUUCUAUAGUGUUCGGUUAAACGUCCGGCGAAGUAAAGAGGCGUCUCUCUUCCUACGUAGUCUCUUAACGCUGUUGUAAGCUCCGCCUGAUUAUACAAUUAAAAGGGGCAUAAGAAAGACGUUCCAUAGAUUAAUUAUCACGUUUAAGUAAAAUACAUGUGUUUUUUUAUUUUAUGUUUAAUUGAAUGCUAAUUUUUUUUAAAACAAAAACCAUUUUUGUUUACAUUUACAAAUGCACCAUAAAAUAGAAUAGAAAAACGUGAUUUUUUUUCUAUUUCUAUCUAUGAUUUGGCACUGGUCUUGUAGAAAACCAGUAUCUAUACAUGUAUUAUAUUUAUACUAAAUAGAAAUUAGUAUCGUAUAUAUUUAUUUAAGAUUAAUGCGGAAAUAUGUCGACUAUUAUAUUAGUAAAGUUUUUGCCCGUAAUCAGAUAUAUGAGAAAAGCCAACCUGAAAUUCAUGAUCGCUCAAAACAAAAUCUAAUUCCUCUUCAAGAUCUCUCAGGCGGGACAUCAAAGUCUCCGGUACAAACUUCCCACCGAACCUCCCGAAACGACCAUUACCGUCGCCACGAAGAAACGGUCUCGCGUUAGUUCUUACUGAAACAGAAGUCACAGAACCAAAAGAUGGACCACUCAUACGACUGAGUACGUCGCUUACACGGUGGUGACUUUUUAUGGGAACUCCAAAAACAACAGAGUUUAUCAUACGGUGGUUUCUUGCCGGAACCCUAGGAAGGGGCUGCCAUUGUAACUGGAUUUUAGUGGACGACAUUUUUUUUGAAACGCUGAUGUCUAAUUAUUUUGUGAUAUUUUUUUACCAAAAAUUUGGGCUGACGCGUUCUCUUUUUAUAGUAUAUUUUUUUGUAUGAAUCGAUCUGAAUUAUUUAUGCAUGAUCUGAAUUAUUUAUGCAUGAUCUUGUUGUCGCAUUUUCCACGUGUCCUCUUGAUUUUGACGAAACAACAUACAUGUAUUAUGAAUGUAACUUUCUUUCAGUCAUUGUGCGUUUGCAAAUAAUUUGUAAUGUCUUUUACCUAAAGACGUAAACGUACAACCAAAAAAAGGAAGAGAUGUAAACGCUCUCUUACAAAAUACUAAGUGACAAUACAAACACUUCCAUAAUUUUGCAAAGUGAGGUCUUGAUUGAGAGAUUGGACAAGAAUAUGAGGAACAGAUUCACCAUUCUUCAAAGAAGAUGAGAUAAGGAGUUGGUUGGAGGAAUAACCUUUUGGUUUGGUUCUAUAUAGUUUUUUUUUAAAGGAGAAUGAGUUCUAAGAUAAAACAGGAGAGGAUAGUACAUCAUAAUUUUAAUUUUGGUCACACUUGAUGUAAAACAAUAUUUUUUAUUUGAAUUAAAUUUAACAUUCAAUUAAAAGAAAAAACACUUUUUUUUGUUGGGAUUAAAUAAUGAUAUUAAGGGUCCAAAUAAUAACACGUGAAACAACUGCGAUGCGGUUUUAGUGGUAACAAAAACACAUAUAUAAAAAGAUAUUGUUACAACGACAUGUUGUGUUUGUUUCACGUUUGUUUGUGUCGACUGAUACUAACAGGGCCGUGUCUGAAAAUUUUAGGCCCUAAAGCUCAAUUAUUAAUUUGGCCUUUUAAAACUAUGAGAAUUUAAAAUGUUAUAGGGAAGAAUCGAACUGGACGCCUUAUAUACUUCUAAUAAGUACAUUACCAACCUAGCCACUUAGUUAUUUCUGUUAGGUUUUGGCCUCUAAUAUUUAUAUAUUUCAAGGCUCCAAGCAUAUGCUUGAUUAGCUUUUACUUAGGCACGGCCCUGGAUACUGACAUACAAACUCAUACUUAAUAAAUAGUAACAAAAACACAUAUAACGCGAUUUUGUUGCAACGACGUGUUGUGUUUGUUCCACGUUUGAUUGUGUCGACUGAUACUAACAUACAAACUCAUACUUAUAAAUAUAUUAUAUACUGGGAUUUGGUAUAUAAAUCCAGAUCAAAAAAGAUUUGUUACGAAGAAGUUAAAGAUGAAGAAUCGUACUUUCAUAUAUUUAAACUUGAAAUGAUAAUUAAAUUAGUGAGAAAAAGGAAAGAAAAAUUACAAUUGUUUAGAUAUUUAUGACAAGGGAAAAUGCACUUUUUAUGGAUUCUUGUAAUAAUUUAAGGAUAAACAUCCUGGGAGAAAUAUUUCAAGAAAUAAUAGAGGAUGUAAUUUGCAAUCAUUUUUGUUCUGUAUCGAUGAUAAACAUCAAAGUUGCUUUUCGGAAUAGACUGGAUAAUAUUUAUCAUAAUGCAUACUUGCUACAUCGGUGUUUAAGAGAUUCCCCAGUUGUACAAUCAGCUACAUAUAAAAGAUAACUACCGUAUGGUGAUACAAAAUCUUAUUUUUUUUCCUGUAAAAAUAUAUUAAAUAUUUCUCUAUGCAAUUACCAUAUCGACUCCUUGAUCAGUGGCUGAAAGUCCGGUGCCUCGACCUUGAAGCUGGACACAACCAGCUUGGCAUGCCCCCUCACAAAUUUCUUGCGUUGCUUCUGUCACUUUCAUGCAUAUUGGCAUACAUUCUCUGUGGCACAACGGCAAUACUUUCUUUCCUAAUAGUGCUUCUUGUCCAGCCACAAUCUUCGUCCUUAACAAAACCGUAAUUAUCAUCAAACUCAGGGUGGCGAAGUUUCUGCUCCGGCUCUUCAUUUUUGCUUCGUACGUGAAAAUAUUUGAUCAGAAAGAAAGAUGAAAGAAGGAAUAUUUGGAAGACAAGGAAAGGAUUUUGAACAGAAGGGGAUGGUUAAGAUUCAAAGGGUAAUCAUGGCCUCAUAUGUGUUUGGUUCUCCGUAAUAUUAACUUUUUAACAAUAGUGAAUUGUCUUUGAUCAAAAAAAAAAAAAAUAGUGAAUUGUCUUUUACUCGUUUUCACGUAUAAAUGGAUACAGUCAUCUAUUGUCUUUUAAAUCAAUUUGAAACUUUGCUUAACAUAACACAGAACAAUAUAUCAUUUUGUUUUAUUAAUCGAUAUGAAAGAUUGAUUUUCGUUGAAUUAUUGACUAUAUUAUUAGUCUGAUUGCAAUAUAUAAAUAUCGAUUAGAAAACAUAAAAGUUUAAAGACGUUCAAAUAACUUCAACCGUAGUUGAGCCGAAACAUCUCAUUUUGGAUGAAGAAACUUCCUUGUGGAAGAGGGACCAAGUGAAACGUCUGCAAAUAAUAAAUAACAUUUUUAUUAUCAAGGCCUUUAAGCAAAAAAAUACAUUUUUAUUUACGUAAGCUAAAAAACUGACAGAAAAAUAAUAUAUGUAUAUAUAUGUGCAAGCUCAUAUUAAAUAACUUAGUUUCAUUCAUGUUCAUGUUAUAGUUAAUUAAAGGAUUAAUAUUCGAAGAUUAUUAUGACUGUUCCUAGAUUUACCGAUGUAAACUAGUGUAUUAUGGCUAGUACACGUAGAAAUGAUCAAAAAUAGCAUUUUUCUUUUUGUAAUUUAAGCAUUUUGUUUCUUACAAAACGAUAUCUCACAUUGAUCAUAAAUGGAGAAGAGUUAAGACCUGGCUAAACCUAAGAGGAUGAUCCUCGCCGUGUAACUGGAUGCUACCACUCACAAAGACAAGGAUUCCGCCACAGCCACCGGCCAUUGAGGACGGCUGCGAAUCAACGGUGCUGAUCAAAUGACGACACUGAUCGAACGGAAGUUGUUUGAGCUUAUUGAAGAUAUCUUCCACGCCGUAAAUCUUUUGGCCUUCGAAAGUAAGCAACGAGGUGGGAUUGUAGAGAGUGGAAAGAGAAGAUCGAUCAUUGUCAAAGAGAUGGUAAUAGUGAUUCACAAAUGCCCUUGCAACUUCUUCUUCACUUCUUCCUUUAUUUGUCUCUGCCAUUGUAUAGAAAUUAAAUCUGUUAGCAAAAACCAAAGAGGGAAUAUAAACAUGAGCUAUCUUAAGGAAUCAACUUUCAUGGGGGGAAAAGAUACUUAAUUUGCAAGCAAGGGUAAGAAUAAAUCGAUAAUCUUUUUUUUACUUUCUUGUGGAUCAAGUAACGCAUAAAUCUUCUCCAUCGAAUCUUAUAUUCAGAUUUUCACAUUGUAUGAAGCAAUGCUUCUUUGUUGGAGUACACUCAAAUCAACUGAUACAAAAGCAAAUACCAUAAUCAUAUCGUAUAUAGUCCUAGAGCAAUCAUUACUCUAACUCGAGUAUCCAAAACUUUAAUAAAUGGACCAGAGAGACUAGAUAAGUAGAAAACUAAAAAACCGUUUAUGUGAAAAAAAUCAUAUGGGGACUACGGUUCUAAUACCAUAUUAAUAAAUGAACUUAACUCACACCCAAACUCUAGUUCAAAAGUAAAAGAUUACUACAUCACAUAUAUAUUGACAAGACACUUGAUAUCACCGAUGUGGAAUAUCUAAUAUAAAACCUAGUUACUCAAAAAUUUACCUUAAGGUAAAGAUCCAUCAAUGCCAACUAGAUGGCCAAUACGUUUGAAUCUCAUAACCAGUCUUCCAACUAUUCAAGUAAACAACCUUCUUCACAGCCAACAACGACACGACCAUAGCCAACAUCAUAAACACCCUCUGCCCACUGACACUCCUGACGCGCACAAGCGCAUUAGUGACAUACGCCAAGAGCAGCCCAACCACAUUGUACAAGAGCCCGACAGAGAGCCCCUCCGCCCCGAGCUGAAAAUUCUCUCCUUUGUAGAAGAAAACGAGCUUGUUCGAAUCCUGGUGAUCUCUCACGAACAUAGGCAUUCCUUUGAUGAUGUUAUGCAUAGUCCCGGAGACGCUGAAGAAGUACACCAAAACGGUGCAGAAUAGCCAGACUCUACUAUUGUGGAGGACCGUCUCUCCCUUGAGAACCUUCUUGAUAAGGAAAGGAGUCGAGAUCGCGAUUAGGGCUACUAUUACCCUGAUCUGCGUCUUGGAAAGGAGCGGCGGGCGGUGGAGUGGACCAACGGUGAGGCUAGUUCGGCUCUCGAUGAACUCCACCACAGACUCCGCGGUUCCAUCCACAUCUUCUUCCUCCAUCCUGCCUACAUGGCUGACUUAACAUUAUUAUGAACCUUCGGACAAUUUUUUAAAAAAAUAAAUAAAUGUUUUAAAUAUAUAUUUUGUUUUAAAAUUUUUAACAGUAAUAUUUUGUAAUGUAAGAAAAACUAUAUGCAUUAAAAAUGUUUUUAGGACUUUUUCAAUUCUAUUAUCAAUUUUAUUUUGAAAAAUUAUGUGGACAUGGUUAGGAUCAGGGCAGUCGCACUGUUUGUCCCCUAGUUGGCCGGCUCUUGGUACCUGUUUUGUCUUGUAGAUUCUCCAUCAAAGGGUCGACGAGGCAGAUUUGGGGGAGGAACUGGAUGCCGAAAAGGCCGAAAGCCUCUGAGUCCGAUGAUUCAUCGAUCUCGCAGAAGAACACCUUGUUGGCUACGUCAGAUCUGUUGUUGUUGUUGGCGAUGAAAGAGGCGGAGACGAAUGCGAAUUCUCUGCGGAACUCUUGGAGGGGGUUGCUGUUGAGAUCAAUGGAGUUGAAGAAGAUGAUGAGGGAGUAAGGUCGUGGUGUGGAUACGGAGGUUAUGAAUUUCGAAACGGUGUCGUCGGUGAGGCGGAUCACGCCGGAUUCGGAGGAUGAUCGGAGGGAAACGAGUUCUUUGGUGAGAUCUGGUUGCGAAACCGCGAGGAUCGAUAGUAGUGAUAUUGAGAGGAAGAAACGAUGUGGGAGAGUUGUGUGGUCUGCCAUUUUUGAUCUCUUUGAUUGGAUUCGAGAAAGGAAAAUGAGAAUAGAUCCGAGGGAGAUGGAGUUUGGCGGAAGAGACUGGAGAAGUGAAGAAAUGUUCAAAAGUAAGGGUUUAUAUACUGGUGAAAAGGUAAACCUGCUGCGUAAGCUAGAGGGUUCAGUUUAGUGAAAUAACAAAAAAUUUUGACGGCUGUGGGAUUUGAACCCACGCCCUUUCGGACCAGAGCCUAAAUCUGGCGCCUUAGACCACUCGGCCAAACCGUCUUGUUGAUAGUAACCUAUUACAUAUCUAUUCAUAACUAUAAAACUAAUAUUAAACUCAUUUAGUGACUUCUCGGUCAGAAUUAGAGAAAUCAGAUAUGAGAGAAACCAUCUAUUGGAGCAGAAGCUUUAAAAGAUUGAUUCGAUUGAAUAUAAAGUCAAGAGAACACUGCCAGAGUUGGAAUUGUCCACAAAAUAAAAAAAACGCUAUGAAGGAGGAUGAAGACUAAUGCAAGACUAUUCUUACUUAGGUUUCACUUUGUACAACCAUAUGCUUCAUUUUGUGUUUGAUGGAAAAAUCAUGAAACUAUGAGAGUACUGAAAGAUUAAUUGCUCCAAAGGAAAACACUGAAUCACACAGAGAGUCACCGACAUACAUAUGACAAAAUCACUAGCGUCUUCCAAAACCCCAUAAUAUUCAGAUUGUUUCAAGUUUCUACACCAAAACACAGAGAGUUUUCAUACAUAUUAAGUUUUGAAUCCUCUUUCAGCAGAUUUGCAUCCUCCUCUUAACUGUUGUCUGAUUUUUCCAAAGCUGCAAAGUGAUAAAAUGCGUUUUGAGUUAUAAAAUCCAACAUGAAAGAAAGCCAAAAGAAACACAAAGAUAUAUAGAGAGUUUGGAGAGUGUACUGUUGUAGUUGAGAAGCUUCUCAAUCAGAUCAACAUGCGUCAUUAGCAUACGCCUGCAGCAGUAUCUAACUAAGUUGAGUGCAUCAAGUGCGUCCCUGCAAAAAGUAAUAACACAGGUAAAGUAUAAACAAACUAAACAAGAUAGACGCAACACUCUCUUCCAACAACAUAUAAAUAUAACCAGCAGAGCUCAGAUCAUUAGCUACAGCCUUAAACCAUCAACUCUUCAUUGAUUGUUUCUCCACAAACGAAAUGUUGUUAAACCAAUCACAUCACAAGACAAAAUAGUCUCUUCUAACAACAUGUAAAAAAAAACAGUCUUAAACCAUCAACCCUUCAUUAAUUUGUUCCUCCACUAACGAAAUGGUGUUAACUAAUCAAAUAUAUCUAUCACGUAUUAUCUUCCAACAGAAAUCACAGACCAGGUGGUUAAUUUCUCUAAUAUACAAACAAAAGUUCUAUAAUUUGCACAGAGUCUGAUCAGUCAAACAUGUACGCACAAGCAUAAUCAAAGCCAACAAGUUUUACUUAUAUAGCAAAAGUAUGGUCUAAACAUAAACAUGAUGAACAUAAACAGAAGUUUGUUCUAAGCUUAAUACAUUACCAAACAAAUAUCUUCCAUUACUUCGUUUUCUCAAUUAGAUAAGUGGUGUUAACUAAUCUCAUACUUGAGCUAAUUCCCUCUCAAAUUCAAAUAAAGUAUGCUCUUUUAAACUAGUUACGAGAAGAAUCAUGUAGUUUACCCUUCAGUGUAGUCAAGCUGGAGAAGAUCAAGAUACGCAUCCCACUUGUUUCCAAUCACCUGACAAAACCACAAGAGUGAAAGCUUCGUAAAGCUCGAAACUUUAUCUCUCGAAACGAUUUUAUCUAAUCGAUUCAGACCGUAGUUAUCCGAUAAAACAUUCAUCGAGCAGGUAAGAUAAUCUCUUCUUUUGUCGAAUUUUAGAGUAGCUAAAACCCUAGAAAGAAGUAAGAUUUUGAAUCGCCCGAUUUAGCAAAGCCGAGGAAGUGAAACGAACCUUUCCGCAUGUAAAGCACCGUACAGGGAUAAUCAUCUUCUCGAGCUAAGAACUGUGUGAAUCUGUAGACUUGUGUUGGGUCUGCCUCUCUUCUCGAUUUGGGGUUUUAGGGUUUUCUGCUUCGCGCUUCCUUUAAUAAGGUGAAGAACACAAAAGGGACGGCUUCUCGAAACGUUGUCGUUUCGUGUGAUAUUUGAUUGCUGGGUGACUAAAAUUGGGUCCGGUUUGAUUUGAUUUACUUAAAUUUAUUCGGUUUUAAAGCCGGUUUAGUUAGACAGUUUAUUUCCUCUGAUUGUUCCUUGUGUCCCCAUCAUAUCAUUAUUCACCAACAACUUGAACUACUAUUACUCUACACCACCAACAAAGAUUAACAUCUUAAGGUUAAAAACCAAAUUAAAACUGACGUUUUCAGUUAGAACAUUACAUUCUUGUGGAUCAACCUCUUAAGGUAAGAAGAAAAAGAACUGGCAUUCCAAGUUUACUGCAAAAGAUAUUUUUAUACUAAAGGAGAUUUAAGAACUUUUUGCUUCCUUGAACCAUCUGUUAAAGUAUAUAUGUUUUGAUUGAUAUGGGCUCAUCUUAAUAAACAAGACUAUAAAACUCUUAUAAUAAUUUACGUAAUAAAAAUUACAACAAAAAUAUACUAUACUUUAGUGGUAGAGAUGGCGAGUUAAGACAUGAUCAACCUCGAAUAUAUUUGAUAAGAACGUUUGGCCAACCAUACAAGAAAGAGCAUGUAUAUACUCCAAUAAGUCAGCUUCAUCAAUUAUCAAAACAAUGUUGCUCUUACCUCACUUUGACACAUGAUAACUCCGGUUAAUACCUCUGGUAAUAACCAUAAGAGGAGAUCUCGAACUGUCUUCUUCCAACUCCAUCCUCAUAACCAUACGGAUACGAAUCCCCAAAAAGGUAGUCAGAAGUCGUCUUCCACGGAUCAGAAUCAGCGCUAUCCCAGCAAGUAACUUCAGCCGCACGAUUCUCAUCCUCUUGGCGUCUUUUGUUACGUAAGACACAAGGAAAGUAGCCUCCGAAUAUAACCUCGCAGAGAUCAGUCGCUUCUAACCCGUAACCGGAUGGAACAUACAGAGCUUUCACUUCAACUUUAUCUACUGUUUCAGGUUGCACGGUCCCAUUGCUUAAACUGUGAUCUUCUUCUUCUUCCUCUGCCUCUUCUUGAUGAUCAUUUUCUUCUUCUUUAAUGGUUUCUAAUGGUUUAGCUUCCUCUAACGGCUCAGAGAAAGUCACACGUUUCUUAACAGCUUUCUUUUCACCACCAUCAUAUAUUCCAAGAGGAACAGGAGCGAUGAUCUCCGGAGGAGAAGGAGGUGAAGCUUGACCAGCGGAUGAAGAAGGGUAACAAGUUUUCUCCGAUGGAGGAAGAGGUUUCCCGUAAGUUGCAACGAUAUCGUAGCCGCCACCGUACGGCGUCGGGUCGUACUCCUCGAACUCCGGCUCGUUGAAGCCUUGAACAUUGCGAUAGAUACUAAACUGAGAAGGAGACUCGUAUGUUGUUGUUGUGUAGUAACUCGGAUCAUAGAACAAAUGUUUCGGCUCAGACAUGGUGGAGACAGAGUAAACAACAGAUGCAGAGGUUGUUGUUUCAUACUCAUACUCAGAUCCAUUCCAGUUAUCAUAACUAUUGUAACUCAUUGGAUUGAAACCAAACUGGUGUUGUUGAUUGUUAUCAUAAUAGUUAUGAUCAUAGAGAUGAUUAACCUGGUUUGUAUCGUAUGGGAACUCGUAAUGCUCGUAGAAACUGCCCAUCUUGUAGUUUGAUUCUCUUGAGAGAUUGUUGUUUUGGUGAAAGCAGAAGAUUGAGUGGAGCACUGGUUAAAGUGAUUUGAAAGGUUUGGUUUAUAGUCCGUGUAACGUACUGUUUUCAUGUGAUGUGUUGAUAAGGUGGGCACGACUGAUGUAGAUGGUGACGAGUGUGUUGUGACCCUACAAAUAAAGUUGUCUGCAAGCAAUGUUCUUGUCUUGUCUUGAAGUGGUAUUGAGAAAACGUGGGGCAAACAAGCGGUGGACAAAGACAUUCCGACCAAACAUAUUAACCGGACUGAACCAUAACAAAACCAAACCUAAAUUAGUUCUAGAACGAAUAAAUUUUAACCAUAACCCAUACCAGCCAAGGAGCUUAACCAGCGGUAGAUGAAGUUCAAAUCUACAUAAACCAUACAAGAUUGUUCCAAACGAUGAUAAUACGGUAUCAUCACUGAUACUAGACGAUUUAACAUCCGGUUUAAAUAAGCUAGGGACUAAAACGAUCGAUCAAAAUCUCAUAAAUUUCGUUACUAAGGGACUUGUCUUAUCAAUAGUUCAAGAGGAAUCAGAAGCGGCUGGUUCUUGUCUUGGUUUCCUCUGCUGCUCAGGAGGUGGACCGUCUCUUUUCCUUUCGUACCUCUUGCUUUGAUACUUGGAGUUGUUGCGCUGCUGCUUUGGUUGGUAUGUUGGGUAUGUGCAGGGGAUGAUCUCUCCAUUGAUGUACUUGUCGCCUAAACAUAACAAAAUACCAUACAAAAAUCAAGAUACAGGAGAGAGAGAAAACUUGGAGACAGCACUAAUCAGGGUUAGAUGGGUUAGUACCUCCAUAGUCCUUGUUCUUGACAUCUAUGUAAGAGUCAGGCAAAACCCAGAGAACUCCAGGCAAACCUGUGGAAAUUUCAAAACUGAGCUGUUAGUGUCUUGGAGGUUUACAACGAUUACAAGCACACACAAUCAGUAAGAGGAUUAAAGCUAUAACUGAUCACUAACUCACCCUUGAACUUCUCAGAUGUUUCUUCAUCAAUGGUGCACUGGAAUCCAGUAUACGUGGUGGUACUGAAUGCAUACAUGUUCUUCUUUGCCUCUUCCAUGCUGGAGAACAGACACAAAUAUACACUCAACAAUCACAUGGAACGAAUUGGUUAUACUGGAAAACUGACACAAGUACACUAAUUGCUUACAACAGCAGCACGAUAGUGUAGAUAAGAUUCAAGUUCUCUACAAAAAACAGCCAGCAGCAACAAAUGAACUGAAGAUUCAAGUUCUCUACAAACUACAAAGACAGCCAGCAGUAACAAAAGAACCGAAGAUUCAUUUCACCACUCUAUCCAGGAAAUUCUACUCACGAGUCCAAAUCUAAAGUUUGAGUCUUUACUUGCUUAUAGUGUCCAGACUCCACCACAUCAACUUUUUAACAAAGAGACACCAUUUGACAACAUCUUCAAUUCAUACAUAGCUUGAAGAAAACGUGCAAAAACAGAAUCUUUCAAUUCUAAUAACACUAACUAGUGCCAGUUUGAAUGCUCCAAGUACACAUAUGAAGACAGUCUUUUAGCUUUCCAAAUCCAAAAGAAACAACCUUUUACUUCUACAAUGCAGAGUGGUCCAAGUUCAAGCACCUAAACAGACUCUACUCGGGUUCCAAAUCUCCAUACGACAGCGUUUUCAAAUUAAAUAAACUUGCUCACAAGCUAUAUCAGAAGCUCAAUAUGUUUGCACAUCUCUACCACAUCUCUAGCUAGAGAUUAAUAACUAUUGAGAAGAGAAAAAAACGAAACCUUCCAAGAACAGUCGCAAGAGUGUUGAGAUAAGUCUCAAUCAUCUGGUCCCUCGUUGGCGCCGGAUCCUUGGGGAACUCCAUAACAAUCAGCCAGUGGUUGUAGUCGCAUCCAGGAAGCAUUAUCGUCUCCCUCUGCUCAUUGCUACUGCUCCGUUUCGAUGAAUAAUCCGAAUCCACCGUCGCGGCCUUGACAAUCGCCACCCGACGGCGAGACUCCGCGGUGGAGAUGCUCCGGAGCAGAGGAUGAGUCCAUUUCCCGGAAAGGCGGAUGCUGGAGAGUGUGGGGAAGCGUGUUAGGUGGCUUACGGGAGGUAUGGUUUUGGGGAGUAACGAGGAGGAAGUUGUGAAGGAAGCCAUUCGCAGUUGCAGAAAGCGAGCAAGAGACUGUUCGAAAACACUUUGUCAACAGAUUGAUAGGGAUAAGGUUUUUUUGUUUACCUGCACUAUAAAACGGUACCGCAUUAUAAAAUAUAUUAUAGGUUCGUGGCCUCGUAGUAUUUGGGCCGAGCUAACGUUCAGCCCAUAUGAGUAUAAACUUAAUCCAAAUUUUUAACGACACUUAAUCCAGUUUAAUCAUGCUCUUAUUAUGCAGUUGCCAGUUAUGCGUUUUGAUGACUUUUUUUUUUUGAACGUUUCUUUCUGACAGCAAAAACAACUGAGAAUGAUAUGAAAGACGAAUUAAUUUUUGACAAACAACAAUUUUUCUCAUGAUUAUUUAAAUUUAUAGUAAUUUUUAUUUGAGAGUUUGCAUAAGUUUUCAAGUAUACAAGUACAAUGUUACAGUUACAGAAAAAAAAAAAACGACACCAACAUAUCAUUAUGGGAAACAUAUUUUACUAGACACUAGUAAUCUCUUAUUCGUUUAAUCAGAAAUGCCAAUAACACUCUUCUGUUGAUGAUGCAAUAUUGUUAGCCUUUCCUCUCCACACUAACAACUCUAGUGGUUUACAUUGCAUCAGUGCCUCUCAAAUUUUUAAAGAAAUCUAGGCUAACAAAAAAAAUUGAACCUUAGUAGCACAAUUUUUUAACGGCCAUGAAUGGUGGUGAGUGUGACGUCAUUAAUAGAAUUGCCGUUUUCUCCGCUGAGACAACCACCAGAGGAGCUGCCACCAUCUUGACUUUCUAUCCUCCUCCCCGUAGUAAAGGCCGGAUGCUUCGGAGAUGGAAGAUCAAUAGCGUUUUGCUCCAACAUGAACACAAUGGUAGACAUAUCUACUCUGUCUGAAGCGUUUUCUUGAACACAAAGCAAUCCAAUGUGUAUGCACUUGAUCACUUCCCUCUCAUCAUAACUCUUCACGUCCAUCAGUUUGUCUAUGAUCUCUGUAACUUCACCUUUCUUCCAUUGAUCCCAAAUCUAUACAAUAAGAAAAACAACAACAUUUGCUUAUGUUAUUGUUCUCUCUUAAACAAAAUGCAGUUUUAUUGUACUUACAUGUCCGAGUAGAUUCGAAUAUUCAUUGAAGCAACAGUUGUUUUUCUUUCCGGUAAUGAUCUCUAAAAUCAAUACUCCAAAGCUAUACACGUCAGAUUUUAUGGAGAACUGGCCAUCCAUUGCGUACUCCGGUGACAUAUAACCACUGAGCAAUGAGGUUGAAACCACUUUAAAGAUUGAAAAGAAGAAUGUUGUGUGGAUUGAGAGAGAGAGCUAACUCACUAUGUUCCAACGACCCGUUUCGUGCUUCCUUCAACCUGGUUGCCUCCAAAGAUCCUCGCCAUGCCAAAAUCUGAAAUCUUAGGGAUCAUUUCAUUGUCAAGAAGUACAUUGCUGGCCUUGAGGUCCCUGUGGAUGAUCCUCAGUCUUGAAUCAUGAUGAAGAUAGAGCACUCCACGAGCAACCCCUCGGAUUAUAUCUAUCCGUUGUGGCCAAUCCAGAAGUGCUCUAUGCUCUUCAUCUAGUAGAACACAUGUAAUGAAUUUUCAAAUUGAAUCACCUUAUAAAGUAUAUUAAAAAUAUUAUGAACGUACGGAAUAUGAAAUAGUCUAGACUCUUGUUCGGUAGAUACUCGUAUAUCAACAUCUUUUCUUCCAUUUCAACGCAACAUCCUAAGAUCCUCACGAGAUUCCGAUGCUGCAGCUUUGAUAUCAGCUUGACCUCGUUCUUGAACUCUACCAUUCCUUGGCCUGAGUUUGUUGACAACCUCUUCACAGCUAUCUCCAUACCAUUCUCCAACACGCCCUGAACAUAAACAAAACAACUUGUUACUAACCAUACCACUUAACUUGAGAUUAUGUUUUUGGCUCCUUCCUAAAUCCUAACCUUAUAAACGGAUCCGAAACCACCUGCUCCAAGCUUGUUAUGAAGAGAGAAGCUGUCUGUCGCUUCAGCGAUUGUGGUAAGCUCGAAGAGAGGUAACUCUCGGUUUCUCGCCUUGUCCUGAAGUUGUUCUUCAAAUCUGAGCGAGUCUCCAAAAUCGAUAUAACUAGGGGCGAAGGUCGUUGCAGAUCUUCUAUGCCUGUUUGACUCUGUGCUUGACCAUAGUUACUUGUGACACAAGAAACUAACUUAUGAGCUUAAAAGAUAUUUUACUUACUUUGCCGCUUCCUUACAAAACAGAACAACAUAACCGUUGCUAACAUGACAGCUGCAAUCAAACUGAUGAGAAUCCAAAUGAGUCUCCUCUUCCUUGAUGACCCAUGUCUGUUCCACCGUGCUGGAACAAGCAUUAAAGCAUUAGAGCAGAACUAGGCCUGCGGUUUAGUACCGAGCCGAACCGGAAUUUUCCUUUAAUUCGAUUACGAGUUCGGUUCAGUUCGGCAGGUUUAUAAAAGAACUAAAAGAACUUCGGUUUUUGGUUCGGUAACGGGGUUUUUCAAAAAAAAAUUGUUAAAAACAUUUGAACUGAACUAACCAAAAAUUUGAACCGAACUAACUAAAAUUAUCCGAAUUUAACCAAAUUUAUAGCUGAAAUAUAAUCGAAACUAAAAACGUCGGUUAGUUUCUAUAAAAAAAAUAUUAAAAACCAAACUACCCAAAUAUCAAACCAAACUUUUUUACUGUUCAAUUCGGCGAGAUUUUAGUCGAACCGAACUACCCAAACGCGCAGGCCUAAAGCAGCUUAGAACGGUUGUUUAGAGAAGCUACAGACAAGUUGCAGAGUAGAUAUAUGUGUACCUAGCUCUUCCUUGUCUACGCGUACAUACAAAUCUUGUCCUGAGCUCAAGUAAGUCCUCGUAUCCAACAUAUCACCGUGCCAUGUCAAACACCCUCUUGGUCCUCCUUCACUUUCAUAAUAACCACUUGCGUAAGCGACACAACUGCAGUUCCCUAAGCAUGUCUGUUUACAUUCCUUCAAUGUAACAUUCAUAUCCACACUGAGGCUAGUUCGGCUCUCGAUGAACUCCACCACAGACUCCGCGGUUCCAUCCACAUCUUCUUCCUCCAUCCUGCCUACAUGGCUGACUUAACAUUAUUAUGAACCUUCGGACAAUUUUUUAAAAAAAUAAAUAAAUGUUUUAAAUAUAUAUUUUGUUUUAAAAUUUUUAACAGUAAUAUUUUGUAAUGUAAGAAAAACUAUAUGCAUUAAAAAUGUUUUUAGGACUUUUUCAAUUCUAUUAUCAAUUUUAUUUUGAAAAAUUAUGUGGACAUGGUUAGGAUCAGGGCAGUCGCACUGUUUGUCCCCUAGUUGGCCGGCUCUUGGUACCUGUUUUGUCUUGUAGAUUCUCCAUCAAAGGGUCGACGAGGCAGAUUUGGGGGAGGAACUGGAUGCCGAAAAGGCCGAAAGCCUCUGAGUCCGAUGAUUCAUCGAUCUCGCAGAAGAACACCUUGUUGGCUACGUCAGAUCUGUUGUUGUUGUUGGCGAUGAAAGAGGCGGAGACGAAUGCGAAUUCUCUGCGGAACUCUUGGAGGGGGUUGCUGUUGAGAUCAAUGGAGUUGAAGAAGAUGAUGAGGGAGUAAGGUCGUGGUGUGGAUACGGAGGUUAUGAAUUUCGAAACGGUGUCGUCGGUGAGGCGGAUCACGCCGGAUUCGGAGGAUGAUCGGAGGGAAACGAGUUCUUUGGUGAGAUCUGGUUGCGAAACCGCGAGGAUCGAUAGUAGUGAUAUUGAGAGGAAGAAACGAUGUGGGAGAGUUGUGUGGUCUGCCAUUUUUGAUCUCUUUGAUUGGAUUCGAGAAAGGAAAAUGAGAAUAGAUCCGAGGGAGAUGGAGUUUGGCGGAAGAGACUGGAGAAGUGAAGAAAUGUUCAAAAGUAAGGGUUUAUAUACUGGUGAAAAGGUAAACCUGCUGCGUAAGCUAGAGGGUUCAGUUUAGUGAAAUAACAAAAAAUUUUGACGGCUGUGGGAUUUGAACCCACGCCCUUUCGGACCAGAGCCUAAAUCUGGCGCCUUAGACCACUCGGCCAAACCGUCUUGUUGAUAGUAACCUAUUACAUAUCUAUUCAUAACUAUAAAACUAAUAUUAAACUCAUUUAGUGACUUCUCGGUCAGAAUUAGAGAAAUCAGAUAUGAGAGAAACCAUCUAUUGGAGCAGAAGCUUUAAAAGAUUGAUUCGAUUGAAUAUAAAGUCAAGAGAACACUGCCAGAGUUGGAAUUGUCCACAAAAUAAAAAAAACGCUAUGAAGGAGGAUGAAGACUAAUGCAAGACUAUUCUUACUUAGGUUUCACUUUGUACAACCAUAUGCUUCAUUUUGUGUUUGAUGGAAAAAUCAUGAAACUAUGAGAGUACUGAAAGAUUAAUUGCUCCAAAGGAAAACACUGAAUCACACAGAGAGUCACCGACAUACAUAUGACAAAAUCACUAGCGUCUUCCAAAACCCCAUAAUAUUCAGAUUGUUUCAAGUUUCUACACCAAAACACAGAGAGUUUUCAUACAUAUUAAGUUUUGAAUCCUCUUUCAGCAGAUUUGCAUCCUCCUCUUAACUGUUGUCUGAUUUUUCCAAAGCUGCAAAGUGAUAAAAUGCGUUUUGAGUUAUAAAAUCCAACAUGAAAGAAAGCCAAAAGAAACACAAAGAUAUAUAGAGAGUUUGGAGAGUGUACUGUUGUAGUUGAGAAGCUUCUCAAUCAGAUCAACAUGCGUCAUUAGCAUACGCCUGCAGCAGUAUCUAACUAAGUUGAGUGCAUCAAGUGCGUCCCUGCAAAAAGUAAUAACACAGGUAAAGUAUAAACAAACUAAACAAGAUAGACGCAACACUCUCUUCCAACAACAUAUAAAUAUAACCAGCAGAGCUCAGAUCAUUAGCUACAGCCUUAAACCAUCAACUCUUCAUUGAUUGUUUCUCCACAAACGAAAUGUUGUUAAACCAAUCACAUCACAAGACAAAAUAGUCUCUUCUAACAACAUGUAAAAAAAAACAGUCUUAAACCAUCAACCCUUCAUUAAUUUGUUCCUCCACUAACGAAAUGGUGUUAACUAAUCAAAUAUAUCUAUCACGUAUUAUCUUCCAACAGAAAUCACAGACCAGGUGGUUAAUUUCUCUAAUAUACAAACAAAAGUUCUAUAAUUUGCACAGAGUCUGAUCAGUCAAACAUGUACGCACAAGCAUAAUCAAAGCCAACAAGUUUUACUUAUAUAGCAAAAGUAUGGUCUAAACAUAAACAUGAUGAACAUAAACAGAAGUUUGUUCUAAGCUUAAUACAUUACCAAACAAAUAUCUUCCAUUACUUCGUUUUCUCAAUUAGAUAAGUGGUGUUAACUAAUCUCAUACUUGAGCUAAUUCCCUCUCAAAUUCAAAUAAAGUAUGCUCUUUUAAACUAGUUACGAGAAGAAUCAUGUAGUUUACCCUUCAGUGUAGUCAAGCUGGAGAAGAUCAAGAUACGCAUCCCACUUGUUUCCAAUCACCUGACAAAACCACAAGAGUGAAAGCUUCGUAAAGCUCGAAACUUUAUCUCUCGAAACGAUUUUAUCUAAUCGAUUCAGACCGUAGUUAUCCGAUAAAACAUUCAUCGAGCAGGUAAGAUAAUCUCUUCUUUUGUCGAAUUUUAGAGUAGCUAAAACCCUAGAAAGAAGUAAGAUUUUGAAUCGCCCGAUUUAGCAAAGCCGAGGAAGUGAAACGAACCUUUCCGCAUGUAAAGCACCGUACAGGGAUAAUCAUCUUCUCGAGCUAAGAACUGUGUGAAUCUGUAGACUUGUGUUGGGUCUGCCUCUCUUCUCGAUUUGGGGUUUUAGGGUUUUCUGCUUCGCGCUUCCUUUAAUAAGGUGAAGAACACAAAAGGGACGGCUUCUCGAAACGUUGUCGUUUCGUGUGAUAUUUGAUUGCUGGGUGACUAAAAUUGGGUCCGGUUUGAUUUGAUUUACUUAAAUUUAUUCGGUUUUAAAGCCGGUUUAGUUAGACAGUUUAUUUCCUCUGAUUGUUCCUUGUGUCCCCAUCAUAUCAUUAUUCACCAACAACUUGAACUACUAUUACUCUACACCACCAACAAAGAUUAACAUCUUAAGGUUAAAAACCAAAUUAAAACUGACGUUUUCAGUUAGAACAUUACAUUCUUGUGGAUCAACCUCUUAAGGUAAGAAGAAAAAGAACUGGCAUUCCAAGUUUACUGCAAAAGAUAUUUUUAUACUAAAGGAGAUUUAAGAACUUUUUGCUUCCUUGAACCAUCUGUUAAAGUAUAUAUGUUUUGAUUGAUAUGGGCUCAUCUUAAAAAACAAGACUAUAAAACUCUUAUAAUAAUUUACGUAAUAAAAAUUACAACAAAAAUAUACUAUACUUUAGUGGUAGAGAUGGCGAGUUAAGACAUGAUCAACCUCGAAUAUAUUUGAUAAGAACGUUUGGCCAACCAUACAAGAAAGAGCAUGUAUAUACUCCAAUAAGUCAGCUUCAUCAAUUAUCAAAACAAUGUUGCUCUUACCUCACUUUGACACAUGAUAACUCCGGUUAAUACCUCUGGUAAUAACCAUAAGAGGAGAUCUCGAACUGUCUUCUUCCAACUCCAUCCUCAUAACCAUACGGAUACGAAUCCCCAAAAAGGUAGUCAGAAGUCGUCUUCCACGGAUCAGAAUCAGCGCUAUCCCAGCAAGUAACUUCAGCCGCACGAUUCUCAUCCUCUUGGCGUCUUUUGUUACGUAAGACACAAGGAAAGUAGCCUCCGAAUAUAACCUCGCAGAGAUCAGUCGCUUCUAACCCGUAACCGGAUGGAACAUACAGAGCUUUCACUUCAACUUUAUCUACUGUUUCAGGUUGCACGGUCCCAUUGCUUAAACUGUGAUCUUCUUCUUCUUCCUCUGCCUCUUCUUGAUGAUCAUUUUCUUCUUCUUUAAUGGUUUCUAAUGGUUUAGCUUCCUCUAACGGCUCAGAGAAAGUCACACGUUUCUUAACAGCUUUCUUUUCACCACCAUCAUAUAUUCCAAGAGGAACAGGAGCGAUGAUCUCCGGAGGAGAAGGAGGUGAAGCUUGACCAGCGGAUGAAGAAGGGUAACAAGUUUUCUCCGAUGGAGGAAGAGGUUUCCCGUAAGUUGCAACGAUAUCGUAGCCGCCACCGUACGGCGUCGGGUCGUACUCUUCGAACUCCGGCUCGUUGAAGCCUUGAACAUUGCGAUAGAUACUAAACUGAGAAGGAGACUCGUAUGUUGUUGUUGUGUAGUAACUCGGAUCAUAGAACAAAUGUUUCGGCUCAGACAUGGUGGAGACAGAGUAAACAACAGAUGCAGAGGUUGUUGUUUCAUACUCAUACUCAGAUCCAUUCCAGUUAUCAUAACUAUUGUAACUCAUUGGAUUGAAACCAAACUGGUGUUGUUGAUUGUUAUCAUAAUAGUUAUGAUCAUAGAGAUGAUUAACCUGGUUUGUAUCGUAUGGGAACUCGUAAUGCUCGUAGAAACUGCCCAUCUUGUAGUUUGAUUCUCUUGAGAGAUUGUUGUUUUGGUGAAAGCAGAAGAUUGAGUGGAGCACUGGUUAAAGUGAUUUGAAAGGUUUGGUUUAUAGUCCGUGUAACGUACUGUUUUCAUGUGAUGUGUUGAUAAGGUGGGCACGACUGAUGUAGAUGGUGACGAGUGUGUUGUGACCCUACAAAUAAAGUUGUCUGCAAGCAAUGUUCUUGUCUUGUCUUGAAGUGGUAUUGAGAAAACGUGGGGCAAACAAGCGGUGGACAAAGACAUUCCGACCAAACAUAUUAACCGGACUGAACCAUAACAAAACCAAACCUAAAUUAGUUCUAGAACGAAUAAAUUUUAACCAUAACCCAUACCAGCCAAGGAGCUUAACCAGCGGUAGAUGAAGUUCAAAUCUACAUAAACCAUACAAGAUUGUUCCAAACGAUGAUAAUACGGUAUCAUCACUGAUACUAGACGAUUUAACAUCCGGUUUAAAUAAGCUAGGGACUAAAACGAUCGAUCAAAAUCUCAUAAAUUUCGUUACUAAGGGACUUGUCUUAUCAAUAGUUCAAGAGGAAUCAGAAGCGGCUGGUUCUUGUCUUGGUUUCCUCUGCUGCUCAGGAGGUGGACCGUCUCUUUUUCUUUCGUACCUCUUGCUUUGAUACUUGGAGUUGUUGCGCUGCUGCUUUGGUUGGUAUGUUGGGUAUGUGCAGGGGAUGAUCUCUCCAUUGAUGUACUUGUCGCCUAAACAUAACAAAAUACCAUACAAAUAUCAAGAUACAGGAGAGAGAGAAAACUUGGAGACAGCACUAAUCAGGGUUAGAUGGGUUAGUACCUCCAUAGUCCUUGUUCUUGACAUCUAUGUAAGAGUCAGGCAAAACCCAGAGAACUCCAGGCAAACCUGUGGAAAUUUCAAAACUGAGCUGUUAGUGUCUUGGAGGUUUACAACGAUUACAAGCACACACAAUCAGUAAGAGGAUUAAAGCUAUAACUGAUCACUAACUCACCCUUGAACUUCUCAGAUGUUUCUUCAUCAAUGGUGCACUGGAAUCCAGUAUACGUGGUGGUACUGAAUGCAUACAUGUUCUUCUUUGCCUCUUCCAUGCUGGAGAACAGACACAAAUAUACACUCAACAAUCACAUGGAACGAAUUGGUUAUACUGGAAAACUGACACAAGUACACUAAUUGCUUACAACAGCAGCACGAUAGUGUAGAUAAGAUUCAAGUUCUCUACAAAAAACAGCCAGCAGCAACAAAUGAACUGAAGAUUCAAGUUCUCUACAAACUACAAAGACAGCCAGCAGUAACAAAAGAACCGAAGAUUCAUUUCACCACUCUAUCCAGGAAAUUCUACUCACGAGUCCAAAUCUAAAGUUUGAGUCUUUACUUGCUUAUAGUGUCCAGACUCCACCACAUCAACUUUUUAACAAAGAGACACCAUUUGACAACAUCUUCAAUUCAUACAUAGCUUGAAGAAAACGUGCAAAAACAGAAUCUUUCAAUUCUAAUAACACUAACUAGUGCCAGUUUGAAUGCUCCAAGUACACAUAUGAAGACAGUCUUUUAGCUUUCCAAAUCCAAAAGAAACAACCUUUUACUUCUACAAUGCAGAGUGGUCCAAGUUCAAGCACCUAAACAGACUCUACUCGGGUUCCAAAUCUCCAUACGACAGCGUUUUCAAAUUAAAUAAACUUGCUCACAAGCUAUAUCAGAAGCUCAAUAUGUUUGCACAUCUCUACCACAUCUCUAGCUAGAGAUUAAUAACUAUUGAGAAGAGAAAAAAACGAAACCUUCCAAGAACAGUCGCAAGAGUGUUGAGAUAAGUCUCAAUCAUCUGGUCCCUCGUUGGCGCCGGAUCCUUGGGGAACUCCAUAACAAUCAGCCAGUGGUUGUAGUCGCAUCCAGGAAGCAUUAUCGUCUCCCUCUGCUCAUUGCUACUGCUCCGUUUCGAUGAAUAAUCCGAAUCCACCGUCGCGGCCUUGACAAUCGCCACCCGACGGCGAGACUCCGCGGUGGAGAUGCUCCGGAGCAGAGGAUGAGUCCAUUUCCCGGAAAGGCGGAUGCUGGAGAGUGUGGGGAAGCGUGUUAGGUGGCUUACGGGAGGUAUGGUUUUGGGGAGUAACGAGGAGGAAGUUGUGAAGGAAGCCAUUCGCAGUUGCAGAAAGCGAGCAAGAGACUGUUCGAAAACACUUUGUCAACAGAUUGAUAGGGAUAAGGUUUUUUUGUUUACCUGCACUAUAAAACGGUACCGCAUUAUAAAAUAUAUUAUAGGUUCGUGGCCUCGUAGUAUUUGGGCCGAGCUAACGUUCAGCCCAUAUGAGUAUAAACUUAAUCCAAAUUUUUAACGACACUUAAUCCAGUUUAAUCAUGCUCUUAUUAUGCAGUUGCCAGUUAUGCGUUUUGAUGACUUUUUUUUUUUGAACGUUUCUUUCUGACAGCAAAAACAACUGAGAAUGAUAUGAAAGACGAAUUAAUUUUUGACAAACAACAAUUUUUCUCAUGAUUAUUUAAAUUUAUAGUAAUUUUUAUUUGAGAGUUUGCAUAAGUUUUCAAGUAUACAAGUACAAUGUUACAGUUACAGAAAAAAAAAAAACGACACCAACAUAUCAUUAUGGGAAACAUAUUUUACUAGACACUAGUAAUCUCUUAUUCGUUUAAUCAGAAAUGCCAAUAACACUCUUCUGUUGAUGAUGCAAUAUUGUUAGCCUUUCCUCUCCACACUAACAACUCUAGUGGUUUACAUUGCAUCAGUGCCUCUCAAAUUUUUAAAGAAAUCUAGGCUAACAAAAAAAAUUGAACCUUAGUAGCACAAUUUUUUAACGGCCAUGAAUGGUGGUGAGUGUGACGUCAUUAAUAGAAUUGCCGUUUUCUCCGCUGAGACAACCACCAGAGGAGCUGCCACCAUCUUGACUUUCUAUCCUCCUCCCCGUAGUAAAGGCCGGAUGCUUCGGAGAUGGAAGAUCAAUAGCGUUUUGCUCCAACAUGAACACAAUGGUAGACAUAUCUACUCUGUCUGAAGCGUUUUCUUGAACACAAAGCAAUCCAAUGUGUAUGCACUUGAUCACUUCCCUCUCAUCAUAACUCUUCACGUCCAUCAGUUUGUCUAUGAUCUCUGUAACUUCACCUUUCUUCCAUUGAUCCCAAAUCUAUACAAUAAGAAAAACAACAACAUUUGCUUAUGUUAUUGUUCUCUCUUAAACAAAAUGCAGUUUUAUUGUACUUACAUGUCCGAGUAGAUUCGAAUAUUCAUUGAAGCAACAGUUGUUUUUCUUUCCGGUAAUGAUCUCUAAAAUCAAUACUCCAAAGCUAUACACGUCAGAUUUUAUGGAGAACUGGCCAUCCAUUGCGUACUCCGGUGACAUAUAACCACUGAGCAAUGAGGUUGAAACCACUUUAAAGAUUGAAAAGAAGAAUGUUGUGUGGAUUGAGAGAGAGAGCUAACUCACUAUGUUCCAACGACCCGUUUCGUGCUUCCUUCAACCUGGUUGCCUCCAAAGAUCCUCGCCAUGCCAAAAUCUGAAAUCUUAGGGAUCAUUUCAUUGUCAAGAAGUACAUUGCUGGCCUUGAGGUCCCUGUGGAUGAUCCUCAGUCUUGAAUCAUGAUGAAGAUAGAGCACUCCACGAGCAACCCCUCGGAUUAUAUCUAUCCGUUGUGGCCAAUCCAGAAGUGCUCUAUGCUCUUCAUCUAGUAGAACACAUGUAAUGAAUUUUCAAAUUGAAUCACCUUAUAAAGUAUAUUAAAAAUAUUAUGAACGUACGGAAUAUGAAAUAGUCUAGACUCUUGUUCGGUAGAUACUCGUAUAUCAACAUCUUUUCUUCCAUUUCAACGCAACAUCCUAAGAUCCUCACGAGAUUCCGAUGCUGCAGCUUUGAUAUCAGCUUGACCUCGUUCUUGAACUCUACCAUUCCUUGGCCUGAGUUUGUUGACAACCUCUUCACAGCUAUCUCCAUACCAUUCUCCAACACGCCCUGAACAUAAACAAAACAACUUGUUACUAACCAUACCACUUAACUUGAGAUUAUGUUUUUGGCUCCUUCCUAAAUCCUAACCUUAUAAACGGAUCCGAAACCACCUGCUCCAAGCUUGUUAUGAAGAGAGAAGCUGUCUGUCGCUUCAGCGAUUGUGGUAAGCUCGAAGAGAGGUAACUCUCGGUUUCUCGCCUUGUCCUGAAGUUGUUCUUCAAAUCUGAGCGAGUCUCCAAAAUCGAUAUAACUAGGGGCGAAGGUCGUUGCAGAUCUUCUAUGCCUGUUUGACUCUGUGCUUGACCAUAGUUACUUGUGACACAAGAAACUAACUUAUGAGCUUAAAAGAUAUUUUACUUACUUUGCCGCUUCCUUACAAAACAGAACAACAUAACCGUUGCUAACAUGACAGCUGCAAUCAAACUGAUGAGAAUCCAAAUGAGUCUCCUCUUCCUUGAUGACCCAUGUCUGUUCCACCGUGCUGGAACAAGCAUUAAAGCAUUAGAGCAGAACUAGGCCUGCGGUUUAGUACCGAGCCGAACCGGAAUUUUCCUUUAAUUCGAUUACGAGUUCGGUUCAGUUCGGCAGGUUUAUAAAAGAACUAAAAGAACUUCGGUUUUUGGUUCGGUAACGGGGUUUUUCAAAAAAAAAUUGUUAAAAACAUUUGAACUGAACUAACCAAAAAUUUGAACCGAACUAACUAAAAUUAUCCGAAUUUAACCAAAUUUAUAGCUGAAAUAUAAUCGAAACUAAAAACGUCGGUUAGUUUCUAUAAAAAAAAUAUUAAAAACCAAACUACCCAAAUAUCAAACCAAACUUUUUUACUGUUCAAUUCGGCGAGAUUUUAGUCGAACCGAACUACCCAAACGCGCAGGCCUAAAGCAGCUUAGAACGGUUGUUUAGAGAAGCUACAGACAAGUUGCAGAGUAGAUAUAUGUGUACCUAGCUCUUCCUUGUCUACGCGUACAUACAAAUCUUGUCCUGAGCUCAAGUAAGUCCUCGUAUCCAACAUAUCACCGUGCCAUGUCAAACACCCUCUUGGUCCUCCUUCACUUUCAUAAUAACCACUUGCGUAAGCGACACAACUGCAGUUCCCUAAGCAUGUCUGUUUACAUUCCUUCAAUGUAACAUUCAUAUCCACACUUGCACCUGAUGUAUCUGGAAUCUUCACACGCUCCAACUUCACAAAAACUUCUCUCCCACGGCACGUUAAACCUCUAUCAUCUCUCCUCGUGCACCCACCCGAAGGAUCUCUCGAGUUCCAAUCCUCAGGCGUCUUGGGUUCGUAACCAGGUAAGCAUCUGCACUCCAACGUGUCUCUACUCAAAGGAUCACAGUAACCGUUAGGUCCACAAUAAGCGUACCCGUCGCACUGCUCUUGAGGGUUAGGUCUUAACCCUAUCCACCUCUUCUCCCUUGCGUUCCACGUAAACCGUUGCAAGCUUCCCACGUCUCUCAUCACCACUCUUGUUAUCACUGAAGUGUCCAACACGCCGUAAGUGUUGGACACUUCGUCUUGAUUGUUCACAAAGGAGAUGUUGAAGAUGGACUUUAGUGUCUUCUCAGGGACACCGCUCCAUCUCUGUCCUGUCCAUGAACCUCCACGCCACAAUGGUGUCACACCGUUGUACAUCAUUGUUUGUGGAAACGCUCCACGUUCCAAACGGAGCGUAUAGUUUCCAAGACCAGGGUCUUGAGGUGAUCUCCAUGAUGUUAGAAACCGAUCCAAACCGUCUUGUCUAGUGAAGCCAAGUCUCAUGAACGGAACAAAAGUGUCUGUAGGAUGAUCAAAGCUCUCCCAGAGAGUUCUCCCAGUGAGAGGAUCAAGUACAACGAGGUUGCCUAUGUCAGAGAGUCUCGCCAUUGGCUCAGAGAUCUUAUCUGAGACAUUAGUCGACCAUAGAAGCUCAGUCUCAUCGGCUGAUGCAUAUAAGCAGAGGUUCCCUCUGCCGCUGAACACUACCAGACCUGACGUGUCAUUAACCGGACGUUCUCUAUUUGCAACCCAUAUAACAGUCUGCUCAGAGAUCUGAGCAUACCAGAUACCUACAUAACGAAGGUUAGAGUCCUCCCCAGGGGUGAAGAAUCCAAAAGCAAACCUCUUGCCUUCGGAGAAUAUUACAUCACCGUCUCUCAAGGACUGUCUUCUCAUGAUUGUGUCAUUGGCUCCGAUACAAGAUCCAAGGAGGAGGGAGAAGAUGAAGAAGAGUUUCAUUUUCUGUGUGUUGUGUCUGUUCAGAGCUUGAUGCAAGUUAUAAAUGCUUAGUGUCUCCUAUUAAAAGCUAAGUGGGUCUCACCUGAACUAACUAGCAAACAUCUUAGGUUGAACUUUCAAAAGAUGUAGCAACAGAUUCAUGUGUCACAUAAAUGAUGCACUAACUAAAUAAGACACCAACAAUAAUCACUUAGUACAAUCUUUCUCUCUUUCACUAAAUAGCCUCUCUGCCCAGUUUUUUUUUUGGAACACUUAUAUUAAUUGAAAGAGAAAGAUUAGUUGGGAGCAAUAACAGCAUUCCCAACCAACAAAGGUUCAGCUACAUUUAAAGCUCUCUUUGCCAACAUAUCGGCUUCAACAUUCCUCUCACGAGGAAUCCACACAAAAGCAACAGAAACAAAUCUGCGAGACAGUUCAGCGAUGUCUGCAACGAUACUAUGCAUCUCUGCAAUGGAAACACCCUGAUUGAGGCAAUUAACUAGAAGGGAAGAGUCCGACUCAAAUCUGAGGUUAUGGAGCUCCAGGUCUUGGCAUCUAAGCAUAACUUCCCGCAGCGCUAAUCCUUCGGCCAUUAGGGGCGAUGCAAUAAACUCCAUCUUCACCUGGAUCUCCCUAUUGCGAGGAGGGAGAUGAAUGAUUCCACCAAUACCUGCAAUCUUCCUUGUUGAGCACCACGCUGCAUCUGUCUGAAUCCUCGUCGUUCCGCUUAACACUGGUACCUCUAUCAGUCGAUGUUUCUUGCCUUCAGUCUUCUCCGGUUUUCCACUUAUGCUCCAUUCACGAGCCAAACGGAUUGCAGAGGAUAGAGUAUCCUCGGGAGAGGCAGAGAUACCUUCAAAUACGAAUCUGUUUCUUGCUUUCCAAAUGUUCCAAAUGAUCCAUGGGACCAGAUUACCCGAAGCUAUGCCGGUUGGUGGUAAGGCUUUUAGAUUGCUCAGUGCGGGCCAGUCGGCCAUUAAAUCUAUCAUUCCUCUAAAAUCCGGGGCAGUUGCAAGGGGAGCAAGAUGCCACACCCGCUGUGCAAACUGACAGUGGAAGAGGAUCCCUACAAUAAUAAAUACUUAUGUUUUAUGAUAUUUGGAAACUUAUACGUAAACUUACCAAAAAACAAAACUUACAAAACAAAAGUCACUUUCAAGCUAGUGAGGUAAGCUAAAUCACUUUCAACAUGUUUAGAAAAACUAUCCAAAUUUUGAGAGUAUGCAGUAAUACACUAAAAAACCCAAAAUGUUUUUUUUUUCUGUUUAAUUGAUUCAUGUAUUUAGUUGCAAACCAAACACCAACACACAAAGUAGAAUCAAUUCCCCUGAGAAUUUAGGCAUUGAGCCAAGUCCAUUAACAAGAUUUCUGAUAAAACCUCAAAGAACAGCACUCCUUUUCAUAUUCAUACAAAUUUCGAUUGGUUCUUCCCACAAUUUUCAUGAGAAAAGCUACAACAACCUGUCUGAAAGCUAGAAAAUCCAUGUCAGAUGCUGCAGAGUGCUAAGCCUCCUUAUCCUCCAAAGCCUUGAGUUCUUGCCUCCAUUCCUCUAACUUAGAGAACUUCUCCAACUGCUCCGGCUUUAAGUCUUUGGGAGCAGUCUUCUGCUGUUGAGCUUCUGUGAGUCGGAUCUGCAAAUGUUUAACAGAAGAUUAGAAACUAAACAAUUACAUCAAUGAGAGGAGACUUUAUCUUACUUUCUUCUUAAGUGCACGUAUUCUCUUCUCGGUGUCAUCUCCUGCAGUUCCUGGAUUGUGUGCUUCACCAAGGUUCAAAGCCUCCAAACUAGAAACCAAUACAUCCACUGAUUGUGGUCCGUUGCUUGAAGUGACAAUGGGAACAGCCUCUUCCUUGUCUACAUUACUUGAUCCAUCCUCAGAGCUGUUACCUUUUUCCACAGCAGCCUGCACGAAUGAGAGUUUUGAAGCAUGUUCCAAUAAAGCUAGUAGUUUACAGAUGGAUAGAGUUGAGAGACACAUACCUGUAAUCUCUUCUCUUUCUUACGUUCGUUUCUCUUAGCAGCUUUAGUCUUUGCUUUAGGAGUUGGAUCAGGCUCAUAACCUGGAGGUCCUUGUGAGGCCAUCUCCUUCUUCAUCUAUUGCAAAGAUACAAGAGUGGGUUCAAACGAUUCAGUUCCACGAGAAACAACGAAUCCAAGAACAGAAUAGAGAGUGUUGAGGGAAUAAAGACAACACACCAAAGAGCCUUUGGAUUGAUAGAUGACAACUUCAUCUUCUGGAACAUGUCCAGCUCGAAUCCGGAUGGGUUUCCGGAGAGUGCCAUCAGGUCUACGUGUAGGCUCCAGGAUCCUCUCACCUUCUUUAAGGUUUUUGCUAAGUUCCGCCAUUUGCUUUCUUUGUUCUCCGCUUCUAUUGCUGCUUCCCAUCUGAUUCCUUCAGAUUUUUUCAGUACCCUUGUCACUUUUCUUCUUUCCUCAGCUUUAAAUUAUCUACUCUCUGCACCAAAUUUUCAGGGAUCAUUAAAAAAAAAAACUCAUGGACUCGAAUAUUUACACAGAAAACAAAUCAAGUUUUGGUUAACAGUUAGUUGCAUACAACACUUUUGUGAAAGAAGCCAAACGUACAGAAGUAUAGUUCAUAUAUGUAAGCUGGGAAUCAUGAGUUGUGUACUAGCAGUGUGUAUACAAAGUUAUAGCAGAUACACAGAACUAAGUAGCAGAUCAUCUAUUCAACAAUCAAAAUUCAACUCUAUUUGAUGAAGGGUAGCUAGCAAAGGACAAACACACCUCAACCCUAAUGCAAUACCAGUUAAUAACUCAAAUCAUCAAAAAAACUCAUAAUUUCACAACGUAAAUAGGCAGAAGCUGCAAGCAUAAGCAACCACACAAACAACCAGUGACUAACUGCUUUCAAAAUUCAUGCAAUCAAAAGUUAAGAAAGCUAAUCAAGAGACUAAUUACUCAGUUCAAUAGCUCAACACUAA
RNAcentral lists this long non-coding RNA (82505 nucleotides) under Brassica napus (rape). RNAcentral's name for it is "long non-coding RNA (BNAP_LNC007204)". Lineage: Eukaryota; Viridiplantae; Streptophyta; Magnoliopsida; Brassicales; Brassicaceae. The record is from RNAcentral.